Molecule: long non-coding RNA, 54315 nt
Filed under: Triticum aestivum (bread wheat)
Lineage: Eukaryota; Viridiplantae; Streptophyta; Magnoliopsida; Poales; Poaceae
Description: long non-coding RNA (TAES_LNC022963)
Source: RNAcentral
CACACAGGAGUUUCUAGCAUGAAAAAACUCAUGGUCCCUUUGAGCCUGGGUGGCGGUCCAUAGGAGAAUCACACAGUACCCCGGGAUUUCCAAAAAUACAGGCAACAUUGGGUUUCCCAGGUGCCUCAGUCCACCCAGAUGUGAAUUUAAGUUGCCACCUUAAGUAAACCAUUAAUUUAACAAUCUCACAUCUGUCAUGGAUACACUCACCCAAUCCACGUCUACUAGCAUAGCAUAGCAAAAAUAAGCAAACGCAGAAGUAACUCCCAAAGGUUUGAUAAUAAAACAGGUAAUAGGUUCUACCUCAUCUACUUCUCAAAACCCACAUAUUAAUCAGAUCCUAAUCAUGCAAUUGUUUGAGGAUUGAUCUAAUGCAAUAAAACUGGGUAGUAAGAGGUAUGAUCAAAGUGUUACUUGCCUUGCUGAUGAUCCGUGAAACCUAGAAAUUCGAAGUAGCAAGUGGCACACUCCAGGUACUCUAUCACAAACAAACAAGCAUACAAUAAGCAAUCAACUAAUGCACAGGUAAAACUCAAAUAAUAGAUCUAACCAGAAAGUUCAACUUAAGAACUCCGGUUUGCAAAAGGAAUCAAACCAAACGAAGCAACGAAAGUCAAACGGCGAAAGAAACAAGCUUCAUUUACUAAUCUGGACGUAAUUCAAAUUGUACAGUAGCAAAAACUUGUUUGAGUUGGUUAAACGAAAAGAGGGUUUCGAAACGAAACUCUAGGCGCUUGAAUCGCCUGAUUUUCGAUAAACGAGCGAAAAGUUAUACUAGAACGAAAAUUGGAUCAGAAAUCGCGAUCGAAAAUAAUUGCGGAAAAUCCGAUAAAAGGAAAAACGGACGAAGAGGCUAAAGAAUGAACGUUCGUUGUCUAUGGCUAAAAGACGAAAACCAUUCGUUAAAACGAACGAACGAACGGGCGUUUGCUAAAUAACUAAACCGGGGAAAAACCGAUCUAUAUAUAAAAAAUAAACUGGGUUCCUAAAAAACCCGACGGUUUUCUCUCGAAAACUGCGGCGGCGGCGGGGACUACCUCCGGCGGGUCAACGGCGNNNNNNNNNNNNNNNNNNNNNNNNNNNNNNNNNNNNNNNNNNNNNNNNNNNNNNNNNNNNNNNNNNNNNNNNNNNNNNNNNNNNNNNNNNNNNNNNNNNNNNNNNNNNNNNNNNNNNNNNNNNNNNNNNNNNNNNNNNNNNNNNNNNNNNNNNNNNNNNNNNNNNNNNNNNNNNNNNNNNNNNNNNNNNNNNNNNNNNNNNNNNNNNNNNNNNNNNNNNNNNNNNNNNNNNNNNNNNNNNNNNNNNNNNNNNNNNNNNNNNNNNNNNNNNNNNNNNNNNNNNNNNNNNNNNNNNNNNNNNNNNNNNNNNNNNNNNNNNNNNNNNNNNNNNNNNNNGGGCGCACUAUUCAAAGGGGCCAGCCAGGCGGAGUCCUGGUCGCCCACGACCCGUAGGUCCGUUAGCUUUUCAAAAAAAAUAUUUACGCGCAGAAAAACAAAUAAAAGAAAUACUAAACGGACUCCAAAAAUCGCGAAAUAAACUUUCCCGACUUCUAAAAUCAAACCGGACAGGAUGAACAUUUAUUUGGGGCCUAAAUGCAAUUUUGAAAACGCGCAUUUUUCCUAAAUUCAAAUAAAAUGGCCAAAAACUCUGAAAUAAAAUCUCGUUUGAUUUUAUUAUUAAAUCCUCAAUAUUUCUUUAUUUUGGGAAAGUCAUUUUAUUUCCUCUCUCAUAUUUUUAUAAUAGAAAUAAUUGAAGAUAAAAUAAUUAAAAUCGAAUGAUCCUAUUUUCAAAAUUUGAGAAAACUCAAAUAUGAAAAUAACGAAAUCCCCAACUCUCUCUGUGGGUCCUUGAGUUGCGUAGAAUUUCUAGGAUCGAGCCAAAAAUGCAAUUAAAAUAUGAUGCAAUGAUGAUCUAAUGUAUAACAUUCCAAAUUGAAAAUUUGGGAUGUUACACUUAGGUCAUCCACUUGAGGGAAAUUUCCUAUUGUCCUACAAAACUCUACGCUUGGAGGUCCAACACGAGUCUACAAGAAGAAGGUUGCAUAGUAGACAUCAAACAACACCAACAGCAUAAUCACUAGCAUCACAAAUAAUUACAAAGGGCGGGUUCCAAUCCGGUGGUUGAACAAUAGGUGCAGAAAUCAAGGCUUUCUUAAGUAUUUCAAAUGCUUCUACACAAUCAUCAUAAAAAACAAAUGGGGCAUCUUUUUGCAAGAGAUUAGUGAGAGGCCUAGAAAUUUUAUAGAAGUCCUUAAUAAAUCUCCUAUAGAAACCAGCAUGACCAAGGAAACUUUUUAUACCUUUGAUAUCCGUAGGACACGACAUUUUUUCAAUAGCAUCAACUUUAGCUCUAUCAACUUCAAUACCUCUUUCGGAUAUUUUAUGCCAUAAGACAAUACCUUCAUUAACCAUAAAGUGGCGCUUCUCCCAAUUCAAGACAAGAUUAGUUUCUUCGCAUCUCUGCAAAACUCGAUCAAGGUUGCUUAAGCAACGUCAAAAGAAGUUCCAUAAACGGAGAAAUCACCCAUGAAAACCUCAACAAUCUUUUCACAAAAGUCAGAGAAUAUAGCAGUCAUACAUCAUUGAAAGGUAGCAGGUGCAUUACAUAAAUUAAAAGGUAUGCACCUAUAAGCAAAAGUACCGAAAUGGCAAGUAAAAGUAGUAUUUUCUUGGUCCUCUUUUGACAUAGGUAAUUGGGAAACCCCAGAAUAACCAUCUAGCAAGCAGAAGUGUGUAUGUUUUGAUAGUCUUUCUAGCAUUUGAUCGAUAAAAGGUAGAGGGUAAUGAUCUUUUGUAGUAGCUUUAUUUAAGUUUCUAAAAUCAAUAACCAUUGUAUAACUUGUGACAAUUCUUUGUGGAAUCAAUUCAAUUUUAUCAUUAGGAACAACACUGAUACCUCCCUUCUUAGGGACACAGAGAACAGGACUUACCCAUCUACUAUCAGCAAUAGGAUAAAUUACACCUGCUUCCAUAAGCUUUAAUAUUUCAUUUCUUACCACUUCUUUCAUCGUAGGAUUUAACAGUCGUUGAUGAUCAACAACUUGUUUAGCAUCAGUCUCCAUAUUAAUUUUAUGCUGGCAUAGAGUAGGACUAAUGCCCUUAAGAUCAUCAAGAGUAUAUCCAAUAGUUGCAUGGUGCUUCCUCAGAGCUUUCAAUAAUUUAUUUUCUUCAUGCUCUGAAAGGUUAGCACUAAUAAUAACAUGGUAUAUAUUUUUCUCAUCAAGAUAAGCGUAUUUCAGAUUAUCAGGUAAUUGUUUAAGCUUGAACACGGGAUCACCCUUGGAUGGAGGAGGAUCCCCAAGAAUCUCAACAGGCAAGUUGUGCUUCAAAACAGGCGUCUGUUUAAACAAUACUUUAUCUAUUUCAUUUCUUUCAUUCAUAAACAUAUCAUUUUCAUGAUCUAGCAAAUAUUGUUCUAAAGGAUCAGUAGAAGGCAUAGCAAUAGAAGCAAGACCAAUAAUUUCAUCUUUACUAGGAAAUUCUCUAUCAUGGGGUUGCCUAUGAAAUUUGGAGAAAUUAAACUCAUGAGACACAUCCCUAAAACUUACCGUACCUGUUUCUUUCUCACAAUAUAUCUUGGCAUUGACUGUGUUCAAGAAAGGUCUACCGAAUAUAAUGGGACAAAAAUCAUCUUGUGGGGAACCAAGAACAAGAAAAUCAAUAGGGUGUUUUAUUUUCUCGCACAAGACUUUGACAUCUCUUACAAUCCCAAUUGGUGAUAUAGUAUCUCUAUUAGCAAGCUUAAUAGUAACAACAAUUUCUCCUAUCUCAGCAGGUGCAAUAUCAUUCAUAAUUUCUUGAUAUAAAGUAAAGGGAAUUGCACUCACACUAGCACCCAAAUCACAUAAGCCAUGAUAACAAUGAUCUCCUAUUUUAACAGAAGCAACAUGCAUGCCAACAACAUGUCUAUGUUUGUCUUUAUUAUUGGGUCUAGCAAUUCUAGCAGCUUCAUCACAAAAGUAAAUAACAUGCCCAUCAAUAUUAUCGACCAAGAGAUCUUUAACCAUAGUAAUACGAGGUUCAACUUUAAUUUGUUCAGGGGGGUGUAGGUGUUAUAGUAUAACUCUUAUGAACAAUAGUUGAAGCUUUAGCAUGAUCCUUUAUUCUAACAGGGAAAGGUGGUUUCUCAAUAUAAGCAGUAGGAAUAACAGGAUCAGCAUUAUAAGUAAUAGUUUCUUCUCCAACUUUAAUAGGUUCUACUACUUUCACUUCAAUGGGAGGAUGAUACUUAAACCACUUAUCCUUAGGGAGAUCAACAUGAGUAGCAAAUGAUUCAUAGAAAGAAGCUACUAUCUCACGGUCAAGUCCAUAUUUAGUGUUAAAUUCACGAAAAGCACAGUAUCCAUAAAAGAUUUAACACAAUCAAACUUAAGGUUUAUACCUGACUCCUUAGCUUCGUUGAGUUCCCAAUCUUUGGAGUUGCGUUUAAUUAUUUCAAUAAAUCCCAUUUCAAUUCAAUAGUCUUCUUCAUAAAAAAACUAGUACAAGAAGUAUCGAGCAUUGAUUGAUCAUUACAAGAAAGCCGAGCAUAAAAAUUCUGAAUAAUAAUUUCUCAGGAGAUAUCAUGAUUGGGGCAUGAAUAUAACAUUGACUUAAGCCUCCCCCAAGCUUGAGUGAUACCUUCUCCUUCACGAGGCCAAAAAAUUAUAUACUCCCUCCUUUUUUAUAUACAUGGCCACAAACUCAAAUUCCAGGUAGCAAGGUAAAAAUUAGUACUUGUUUUACAAUCUAACUUUUAUUUUCAUUUACUGGGAUCAUUAAUACACCACAUGCAUGCAAGAAAACUGAGUGGAGGAGGUAGCUAAGUGACAUUAUGACAGCAUGCAUGCAAGCAUUAAACAAGUGGCUAGUACGAGAAAACAUCAUUAAUUUUGGACUAGUAUAGAUGCAAAAUGUACAUUCCAUAGUGGCCUUGUAUAAGUAAAUGGAGGGAGUAUAUAAUUUCGAUCAUGAUGAACCAGAUGCAUAGGAUAAAACUUCUGAUGAAAUUCCAAUUUCAAUCGGUUGUAGUUCCAAGAUCCCAUAUCAUCACAUAGCAUAUACCAUGUCAAUGCCUUCUCCUUCAAAGAUAAAGGGAAGACCUUCUUCUUGACUUCAUCCACGGGCAAACCUGCAAGCUUAAAUAAUUCACAAACUUCAUCCACAUAGAUUAGAUGCUCGUCAGGAUGUAGUGUUCCAUCUCCUGCAUAAGGAUUAGCUAGUAGUUUCUCUAUCGUACACGAAGGAAUUUCAUAAUAAAUAUUUUCAGUAGGUUCACUAGGUUGAGUAGCAACUCUUUGUGCUUCCGGUCAGGGUGAAGAUACCCCAAACAGACCCCUCAAAGGAUUAUUUUCCAUAGUAGCAAGUGACAGUGCAUUUCAUCGCACUAUAUAAAUUUUUCCUUACCAAAGGUGCUUCACUCCCCGGCAAUGGUGCCAGAAAAGAGUUUUGAUGACCCACAAGUAUAAGGGAUCUAUCAUAGUCCUAUCGAUAAGUAAGAGUGUCAAACCCAACGAGGAGCAGAAGGAAAUGACAAGCUGUUUUCAGCAAGGUAUUCUCUGCAAGCACUGAAAUUAUUGGUAACAGAUAAUUUUGUGAUAAGAUAAUUUUUAAUGGGUAACAAGUGUAACUAAAGUGCAGCAAGGUGGCCCAAUCCUUUUUAUAGCAAAGGACAAGCCUGGACGAACUCUUAUAUAAAGCAAGCGCUCCCGAGGACACAUGGGAAUUAUUGUCAAGCUAGUUUUCAUCAUGCUCACAUGAUUCACGUUUGUUACUUUGAUAAUUUGAUAUGUGGGUGGACCGGUGCUUGGUGUUGUACUUACUAUGAAAGAAGAAUUAAGAGAAAUCUAACCAUAGCAUGAAACAUGUGGAUCCAAGUCAGCCCCUUACAAAGCAAUGCAUAAAGUAGGGUUUAAGCUUCUGUCACUCUAGCAACCCAUCAUCUACUUAUUACUUCCCAAUGCCUUCCCGUAGGCCCAAAUCAUGGUGAAGCGUCAUGUAGUCGACGUUCACAUAACACCACUAGAGUAAAGAUAACAUGCAUCUCAUCAAAAUAUCGAACAAAUACCAAAUUCACAUGAUUACUUAUAACAAGACUUCUCCCAUGUCCUCUAGAACAAACAUAACUACUCACAAAGCAUAUUCAUGUUCAUAAUCAGAGGAGUAUUAAUUAUCAUUAAGGAUCUGAUCUGAACAUAUGAUCUUCCACCGAAUAAACCAACUAGCAUCAACUAGAAGGAGUAAUCAACACUACUAGCAACCCACAGGUACCAAUCUGAGGUUUUGAGACAAAGACUGGAUACAAGAGAUGAACUAGGGUUUGGAGAGGAGAUGGGGUUGGUGAAGAUGUUGAUGGAGAUUGACCCCCUCUCGAUGAUAGGAUCGUUGGUGAUGACGAUGGCUUCGAUUUUCCCAUCCGGGAGGGAAGUUUCCCUAGCAGAACAGCUCCGUCGAAGCCCUAGAUUGCUUCUGCCCAGGUUCCGCCUUGAGACGGUUGUGCUUCAUCCCUAAAGCUUCCUUAUGAUUUUUACAGGUCAAAAGACAUCAUAUAGCGGAAAAUGGGCACCGGGGGCCUGACAGGUAGGCGACAAGCCAGGGGCGCGCCUAGGGGGUAGGGCGCACCCCCACCCUUGAUGUCGCCUGGUGGGCCCCCUAUGGUAUUUUCUUCACCCAAUAUUUGUUAUUAAUUCUAAAAUAAUUCUCCGUAAAUUUUCAGGACUUUUGGAGUUGUGCAGAAUAGGUCUCUCAUAUUUUCUCCUUUUCCAGUCCAGAAUUCCAGCUGUCGCCAUUCUCCCUCUUCAUGUAAACCUUGUGAAAUAAGAGAGAAAAGGCAUAAGUAUUGUACCAUAAUGUGUAAUAACAACCCAUAAUGCAAUAAAUAUCAAUAUAAAAGCAUGAUGCAAAAUGGACAUAUCAUACCCUGAUGGCAUCAAGAACAACAUCAAGACCAGGAAUACAAGUCAUCAUACCAACGUGGAAAGGUGAGCUGAAAUCGUGAUGGUUCUUGGCUGGUGAACAUUUGUUCCGUCAUGUCCUUUCAAGCACAGCUUGUCAUCUGAAACUUUUUGUUUUGGUUUAGUUUAAACAUUUAGCUUUUGGCAUGUGCAGAGUGCAGGCUUUUGUCUGUCGUAAUCAAACAUCAGUUUAUUGAUUAUUCUAUUGGAAAAUGUUGCAUACAUCUAGCUAUUUAACAUGCAACUAAUGUUUCAUUGUGGUUUGUGUGUAUGUUUUUUGUGGUGGACAAUUCUUACUGAUUUUUUUGUGUACGUUUUUGUGGAUUUAAAUCCCGAGAGGAAUAAAGUUUGCAUAUUUUCAUCCGAUUUCAUUUUUAAGGUCUCCAAAUUCUUAUACCCUGAUGUUCUCAAAUUCUUAGAAGAAUGUUCUCACACGAACACUGUUAAUACAACAAUUGUUCAUUUAACUUUUUUGUUUAAUAAUUUUGCUUAACAAUCGGUUAGAUGGUUGACUUAAAUCCCGAGAGAAAAAAGUUUGCAUCUUUUCAGCUAAUUCCAUUUGUAAGUUCUCCAAAUUCUUAUACCCCAAUUACCUCAAAUUCUUAGUAGAAUGUUCUCACACAAACAUUGUUAAUAUAACAAUCAUUUGUUUAAGUUUUUGCUUAAUAAUUUUGUAGCUUGAGGCAGAUGGGAGAUGAAGCAGCCAAUGGCACUCUCCAGUUGACCCAUUUAUUCUAGUAUUUCCUUUUUCCUGCGAGUUGAGGAGAUCCUUACCAGCAGCAUGUCUUUCUAGCAUGCAUUACCAAGUGAGUAGUCUUUUCUAUUUUAGUCCUUCCCUUGCCCUUCACCUGAUUUGUUUUAUUAUUAGGCCGAUGAUAGUUGAGAGAUUGAAAUUAGUUUAUGAGGCUUUGUGCCCAGGAGAUCCUUGUCUUAUUUAUAGUUGAGUAGUAUGGUUGUCGACCAUCAGGUUUUAGGUUACUAUUUUUAUGACUUCAGCUACGGUUCCUAUUUGUAGUGCGCAUGCAAGAAAGAAAACAAGAAAAUAAUGUUUGUGUUAGGUACCGUAAAUAACUUUUGUUGUGAUGAUGAUAAAUAAGUUGUUUGGGUAUUAAAGUAUGCCAAGAAAUUAUUGAAUCCGUUUAUCAUAUAGCUUGGCUCUCUCCUAUUUUCACGACUGGUCUAGCAAUUGCCUGUGGUUGUGCCUCCAUAAUUUAGAGAAAUUUUAAUACGAAAUUCUUAAAAUAUCUUAUGUCCAUCCUGUUAUGGUAGUGGCAAAGAAACAGAGGCAAUUCCCCAAUAUUAUGUGCUUAUUUUUGCAGUACUUCACAUUCAAUAGUUCUACUAAUGUUUAAUGGUUCAUUCUUAUUAAAAAUACAUUUAGAUUUUUUUUAUUUUCAACUCUAUUUUGUGGUCCUUUUGACAGAUUGGAUGUAUUAGGGUGGGUAGACUAAACUAAAGCUUCUUGAUAUAGAUCUAGCUUGAAAUAUUCUUAGUAACACAAAGUACCAUUGUUCUUCCAGGAAGUGGAUUAGUUUGCAGGAGGCACGUUCACACGGUCCAUUCAGAUUUUCAGACUGAAUUAGGGGCAUAUAGUGACGAAAUGAAAAAUGGUAUCAGGUGAGCUGACUUUGACCAUGACUAUUGAGCUAUAACACAAAUUUGUAUGUACAUUACAUUAUGAAAUAUUUUCUCACUAUUUUGAAAUCACAAAGUGCAAUUAAUUGCAGAUGAUGUGCCUUGUGGAAGAACUGAGCACUCAUAUUUUAUACUUAGAAUUUAGAAAUAGGUUUUUGGUUGGUUUGGAUUAGUAAUACUACUUGAGGCAGCCUUUUGAAAAUUUAUGUAAGAUGACCCGAGUACCAUUCGAAGUGUUUUUUGUAUUAACAUUCAUGUAUAUGUAGCUCUGAUAAGUGUUAGUUUGUUUAGUUUUCCAACACCAUAGCUGAUGUUUUCUUUAUAGAAUAAGAUGGAACUAAACAUAUCCAAAGCAGCAUUUAUAGUUACUCAACUCUGACAAGCUUUAACAGAUUUAACUUUAUAAUGACAAGGAAGUCGAGGACUGUGUAAUUUCUACUCCGUAUGGAUGUUGUUUAACCAUAUAUUUGUUGGACAUUGUUUCUUAAAUAGUUAGCUGGCGCCUGCCGUGUAAUUUGUUGAGCUUUUUGAUGCUCUAUUUGAUUUUCGAUCCAUUAUUUGUGCCUGAUUGAGCUUACCAGUGCUACUACCAAAUACUUAUGUACAUGGCAACUCGAAUAGAGUCUUAACUGUCUAAAUUUUCAUAAGACUGGAUCAGGUGGAAUUUUAAACUACUGUAAAUUUGAUGGCCUGUGUAUACAAUAUGCUAUUUUUUAUAUUUGCAAUGCUUCAAUGAUUGUAUUACCGGAUUGGAUAUGACUAUACCCGACAGCGGAUGCUGCCUGGUACGGCAAGCCGCACUUCCUAACUAGUAGAUGAUAAGACUAUGUUUGGUUGACAGGGUUGUGAAGGGGGUUUGGCAGGGAUUGAGGUGGAUUUAAUCCCCUACAAGUCAAAAGCAUCCCAAACCCCCUCCAAUCCUCUUGACAAAGGGUGUAACCGAAAAGGCCUAAAGGGUUUCGCCCCGUUUUAUAUUAUAAAGCAACACUUUCCACACAUAGAACAAUAUUUCAGUCUAGGACAAGCCAAGUGUCAGCUAGAGACCCUUCUAGCUAAAUGGUUCCAUCCACAAAUUACGGCAUACGCCUCGCGCAACACCUCCUUGAUCCUCAGCACACCAGCUUCAGUUUUGUUUUUGUCUUGGCUUUUCUAUAAUAUGCUCUAGGAUUUCAAAAAAUAGCAUAGAUUGAAAACAACAACGGUUGGAUUAUUAGGAUUUUUUUAUCAAAACAUGUUUUGUUUCUAGUUUCCAGAUAGUACAACAAAUAAUAACUGCCCCCUUAGCACAAGAUGCAUCUGAUUUCUAGGAAAAGGAGUGCAACCAACACCCCAGCAUUAUUUGUUACCCCAUCAGGAGGUCUGGUCAGAUCAAAAGCAUAGAUAACUACUUGCCAAAAAAAUUAGCCAAGUUAUAAUGAAACAAGAUGUGAUCAACAAUUCUGUUAACCCACACAGAAGUGGCACUCCUCAUUUACAGUCCAACCUCUCUUUAUCAGGUUAUCCUUAGUUAGUGUACUUCUUUUAAUCAUCAACCAAAGAAAGACCUGGUCUUGAGAGGCAGCUUCAGUUUCUACAUGCCUCUAAAUCCAACAAAGGGAGAGGAUUUAAGAAAUAGGUAAAGCUCUUUCACCACAAUUGUUUUUGUUGUUCAACAAUCAUAUAACUCUAUCUUUGAUGUCACUUAAUUCCACCUCAUCAACUGGUUUCUUCAACUCCUCCCAUUGCCCCAAGUAUUCUCCAUGUAAGGACCUGUAAAACUAAAAAAAAAACAUUCGAAUCUUUCACAAACUUGGUAAUGACCUGCUCAGUAAAAGUAAUAUUGUAGAUUCUAGAAACAAGCUCAACAAGUUUCUUCUCUCCCAGCCAAACAUCUUCCCGGUACAAGAUCUUAGCACCAUCACCAACCAUCAUUCUGGUCAGGCUGACAAAAGUACCUUUAACCUUCAUCAGACCUUGUCAGACUUGUGAUUCAUUAUUUCGCCCAACCACAUCCAUCAAAGUCUGGCUAGAAAAAUAUUUCCUAAACAACAGCUCUUGCCAUGGACCCUUAGAGUUCUCAAGCUUCCUGGCUAGAAAAAUAUUUCCUGAACAACAGCUCUUGCCAUAGACCCUUAGAGUUCUCAAGCUUCCGGAAGCCAUUUCAUUAGCAAGAAUUUUUUCAUGAUGUCCAAAUCCAAAAUACCAAGUCCUCACGGCUUUUAGGCAUAUACACAACAUACCAGUUAACUAGAUGGUAUUUCUUCUUAUCCUGAGUCUCUUGCCAAACCAUCCCGCCUCUACUAGCAUUCAUAGUCUUAAGCACACCUUUAGGAGCCUCCAGAAAGGAUAACAUAAGGAGGGGAGUGCUGGUCAACAAUCCCGAGUUGAUAUGGGAAAAUUAUCCAUUUCAGGAGAAAGGGAAAUGCACCAAUAGAUAUUAUCUUUUGCAGAAACAACAAUUAUUUUUCGCCAAAGCAAACACCACAAGAGAUUGUGGUGUAAGGGAUAAAAAUAAGAUUUGUUCAUUCUAAAAAAGUAGAGUAUGUUUUUUCCAAAGGCUAUAAGCAUAUAUAUAUUAAACAAAUCUUAUCCUUUCGAAAAUAAAAUAAGUCUAAACAUUAUGACAUCGUACCUAACAAAAACAAAAAUUAAGAACAAGCCAAGGGGGAUUCAUCAUCCCCAGCCUGCACAAGCCAAGACUGCAAAGUGAGCCUUUCCCUAUGCCACACCUCGUUGUAACUACAAGAACUCAUUGUUAUAAAAACUCUGGUUCCAAAGGGCACACAAUGAAAGGAUUCAACGCCCAUUGACACAAGGGGGGCAAGGGCGUGCAUGCGGAAACAGAGGGUGCGGGGCGACCAGGGUCGGGCAUAGUAGGAGCCACCGAGUCACAAGACGACAUUGAGGGAUUGGUCGUCACUUAGACAUGAUUGAUCCCUCUAGCGGAGGGGGUGCGCACUUUGGAGCAUGGUGGCCAUAGUAGUGGCACUGAUGCAUCGUAUGUCAAGAUGACACCCAGGGCAAGGAUGGAUGGGACUCGGCAACGAGGAUAGCCUCCUGACGGAAAAUGCACCGAUCAAAGCUACGUAGGCGGUGGCGCGCCGGGUGAUCAUUGUGAGCACGCUCCCACUUUCUACCAUCAGCAAGCUUCCAAUCUCCUUGUGCAGUCGUGACAUAAACUUCCACACAAUGAACCUCGAAUCAAGACCACGACGUGCGACUAGGCAAGCAUGCUUGGAUGGCACGAGCGAUUCAUAGAGUGGACGAUGGCAGGACCAUGACAAUGUUGCACCAAAGUCGCCAGAUGAGGGGCUGGAUUCCUACCAGCAUAGUUCCCGGGAGCACCCACCCGCAACAGGUGGCGUGGGAGGCACCAUGCGAACAGAGAGAGGGGUGAUGGAGGAGCCUCGUGCCAAGAGCAAGUGGUCGCUGGCGCCAGCGUGGCAUCCCCAGCAAGGGCUGAGGUGGGUGUCGAGGCAGGAGUGGACACCGACGACGGCCUAGGAGCACGAGAGCUAGAGCGGAAAAGUAGUUGUUAUCCUUUGUCGUGAAACCGUGCAUCACACCAAGAAUGUCCAAUGAUCUAUGUUGUUGUCGUGCCUCAAUGUAGAGGCAACCCGUGUGAAUCAUGGUACGUGGGGUAGAGGAGAGUUUGUGACAGGUAUAGGUGAGGCCCAAGGACCGUUGAGGUCAGUUGACCCUACAACGAUGGCCACGGGCCCCAGGGUAAUGGCGUAGAAGGGAGAGGGUUGAUUGGCAUUGGUGCUGCUGCUGAAUUUGAUGGGGAAGAAUUAUGACGGGGAGGAGCAGAACAAAGAGGCAGAGGCGGCGUAGCGGGUUCAUGCCCUUAACGGAGUUUUGUGUUCUUCUUUAGAAAAUAAGAUUGACUAGGAGUUUGAGUUCUUCUUACCAUGUCCUUUACGAGCUCCGCCUAUAAUAUUCAACUCAGAUCUUCACAUCAACAUGUUCCCACUUGUUUUCUAAAUAUAAACCCACAAGGAAAAAAAUCUCUCUCGAAUACGCACAGCGUGCGUAUCAUAUUAUACAGAAAGAAGGGUAAGGAUUAACCCCUAGUCCACCAUGCGGUGAUACAAAGUUCACACCACACUCCACUCCAUGCUCUACUACAAGAAGCUAAGGAUUACUCUUGCGUAACCCACACAGCUACCACUCCUAGUAGCUGAUCCAAAUCUCCCUUGAUGAGACCAUCCUCUUGCCAUGUCCGACACUCCGUCUCAAAGUGUGCAGCAACGGUCCUAACCGAGGGUGAAAAUCUAUAACCGAAUUCCUAUGCUUCUAGAGCACCCACAUUCCAAGAAGUAAAACUGCCCUUAUGUCUCUCGACUUGUGCCCCACUGAAGUCUUGUUUAGGCACCACGACUAGAGCGUGUCAUCGGCUCCUGGCGUCCAGUCCGCCCUUCCUAGGGCCGUGCAGAUCAUCGUGACAUCGUCCACACCGUUCGCGCGAAGACACAACCUAGCAUGAUGUGGUUCAUAAAUUCGCCGUGUUUGGCGCACAAAGGGCAAGAAUCCUGGUGUGGUAGCCCCCUCCUAAGCAGCCUAUCUGAAGUCUAGCAUAUAUUCUUGAUUGCGAGCCACGCAAAGAAGCGACAUUGUAGCAGCGCCCUGGACCUCCAUGUGAACUCAGUUGUAGGAACCACCUCUCAGCCAGCAAAUUUUACGGCAUUGGCUGACCGUACGGAGAAAUAAACAUCGCCUUCCCAAGACCAUCUAAUUGAGUCAUUGCAUCCAUCCAUAAGUUGCACCGCGGUGGUCCUAAAGUUGCAUGUACUCCUGAAGUGCUCGAACCCCUAUGCCCGGUCCAAAGUCUGUAGCCUAGGCCUUGUUUGAUAGUGCACCGUGAAUUGUCCUCGAAAGCCUUACACAUCGAAGCACUCUCUCAUAUAAGGAUGGCGUAAUUUUUGCAACUCGCAGGCUGUCUAACCAUCGGUCCUCCCAGAACAUGGUGUCAUGACCGUCACCAAUUGUAGCUCGGGAUGCAGCAGUGAACAGUGCUAGAGACUCCUUCGGCAUGGGAAUAUCAAACUCCGCACACGGCCUCUCUCCAUCCGAUCUGUGCAGCCAUGGCCAGCGUGCUUGCAUUGCUAUGUUGAGCCACCUGAGGUUUGGGACGAAAAUUAUAUACCUACGGGCGUUUUCCUUACGGACUGUGGCAAAACUCGGUUUGGAAUGCACGCUUAGUUUUUUCCUCUUCUAUGGAUGCAAAAAAAAAGCUUCAAGCUUGACCAUAGUUGUUUGAUCACGACACAUGAGAACUACGUUCAGCACAAGAAAACAGUUACCACUAUGUUGAUUUUGUCAGAAAAUAUAGAUCCAUGCGCGCAUGAUACCUUGGGCAUGUCAAACUUUCUACAGUACACCCACAUGACGAUGGGUAAGGAAUCCUGAACACAUGCGGUACGGGAAUCGUAUCUAGGUAUGUGGUAUUUGAUUCGAUCCAUCGCGAUCUAAAUUUAUUCUAUAGAUCAUCCGUACAUUCACAAAAGAAAUGUUAAUACGCCCAUCGUACAAGAUCGAGCUUAUUAAUUUCUCCACAAACUCCAGUUUUGUAUCGAGUAUUUGGAUCAGUUUUACAAAUCUGAUGAUCCUAAGGAAGUUGUCCAAGGCUCCAUAUUGAUAUAUAUUGAUAUAUAGAAGUACACACACAUAUAAUUCGGAGUCAUCGGUUGCAUUUGGUGGGGUCAGGGGAGUGAAACCGGCCGGCCACCACACGUCUCUUUCGAUUCCAUCAGCUGAUCUGUGCGUAAUGAUCUCAUCAAAAGUUUUUCUUUUGUGUCUGUCCAUUUGAGUAGAUUGGGUAUCUAAUUAGAUUAGUGCUAAUCCUAGUACUCAUCUAAAGUAUGUUUAACAUACAGAUACAAGUAUGAUAUUUAACUACGAAAUAAACAUACUGCAACUACCUAACUCUCAAAGGCUAAAGUCAAUAUACGAUACACUUGGUGUAUAUCAACUUGCACACAUGGUGUAAGAAACAAUCAUUGGGAAACUAGUUUGAGUAUUUUUUUUGUCUCAUAUGAUCACCGCCAUUUUCAAAGUCAAAGAUGUAUCAUAUCAUUAUUUAUUAUUAUUUUUAUCGAAAACACUAACGCCCACACGUGUGGGCGUUUGCAUCUCGCCCACAUGCUUGAAUCCGCGUCCGUUUGUGGAUGCAUGAAUCUUGACAUGUUUGUGGUGCCACGUAGGAUUGGGCUGGUGUGUGGGCAUUCACCCGGUCGCUCACACGUCCGUUUCACCACACGGAGGGACCGAUGUGUGGGCGUUUAGCAGUUCACCCACACGCAUGUCGAUGUUCUGGGAACGGGGGUCUCCAGACUUGCCUGCCUGCGGCCUGCGGCGUGGCUCAAGCAGUGGCCCAGUGCGGCCCACCUCCAUCAGCUCAAGCUCAAGACCCUCGCGAGGGGCCAAGCCUCGCUGGGCGGACGAUGGGAAGUUUCCUCAGGAGCAGCCUCGUCAGGCAGGCUCGCGAGUAGGCGGAGAGAUCAAGGCAGGGGUACCUCGCGAGGUGCCCGUGACGCAAGCCAUGACGAGAUCGAGGCCAGGCGGGCGCCGGCCUGCGUAGUGUCCUUGUUUCCCCUUUGGUGCAAAGGGAGCAAGCACAAGCCAAGGCAUCAGGCAAAGGUUACCAUUUCGAUGCAACAAGACCAAGACCAGCAGAGCGGUAGGAUGAAGGUCACCGUGGAGCCCAAGACGGUGUCAUCGUCAGAGUCUUUGACAGUCGAAGACCAACUUUAGUCAGGAUAAGUGUACUAGAUGUUCCCUUUCAAAAUGGCCAAUUGUUGGCGCCCUUCCCGCUCAAUAUUUGGGAAGAGGACCAAGGUCUCUCUAUAUAUAGGACUAGCCACCACAGAAGAAAGGGACCCGGGACCAAAACCCUUCCAAAGGGGCAACACCACCACAAGAACAUCCCUCGCGAGGCUGUUCUUCCUUUGUAUUGUUCAUCAUCAGCCCCUGAGGCAAUCCACCACACCACACACUGGAGUAGGGUAUUACACCACAAUGGUGGCCUGAACCAGUAUAAACCUCGUGUCCCCUGUGUGUUCAUCUUCCUAGCCUAGAUUCUUUGCGAGGCUGCGAAAUGUGAGUUGGUAGGGGAGAGAUCUCCGUGUGCACCCUAGAGUUCGAACCUCAAGGGUCUACUAGAACCCGAAAUCCGACAUUUGGCGCGCCAGGUAGGGGUGCGCCAGAAUCGUGUCUUCCACCGUCUUGCGUUUCGUCGUCCAUCGCGCCCAUGUCUAACGCUCGCCGAGCCCGCGCCGAGUGUCGGGCUGCUCUCGCGGCCCAUGUCGCCCAGACGGCCCCCGUCGGCGGGCCUCCCCAUCGUUCCCCGUCGCCUGUCGCCCAUGCCGCCACCGGCCCGACGCGGAACGAGCAGCAGGCAUCGUCGCUGCAUCCCUCGGUGCGGCGGAAAGGCCGCACCGCCAUCCCAUCGCUGACUCCAGCAGGCUCGUCGUCGCACGCUCGUCGCGCUCCCGCGAACGCGCACGCCGUCUUGCUCCUGGCGCGUGAGCUCCUGCACUACCGCCCCAUCGAUGACCUCUAUGACGAGUGGCUCGCUUGCAUCACCGAGCUCGUCAGCACCGCAGGGGGCUCCCCUGCGCCGUCCCUCUCGCUGCAUCGCCCUCCGUCCUGCGUGGGCAACGCAGCUCCGGAGGCGCCUCCUCCGCCUCCUCCUCAAGAAGGCGCCCUGGCCCCAAGGCGUGCGGCCCCUGGACAAGACCCGCCGCGUCCGGCGCCUGCGCAGCAAGAAAAGAGCUGCCAAGAGGUCCCUCGCCCUCAAGACGGUGCUCGCGUGCUUCCUGCGCCAGCACGCUAUGACCGCGCUCCUGUUCCAGCGCGCCAAGACCCCACACUGCUCCUGGCGGCAGCGCGCGGAGGCCUCCAAGAUCAAGCCCUUCGUCACCAAAGGCCUCCUGUGGCCACUGCAGGCUGCCGCGCCUUCACCGCCUAGCUGCGCAGCAUGGCCUGGCCGGGCAAGUUCAAGCCAGAUCUGCCUCCUCGCUACGACGGCACUACCGACCCCGCGGAGUUCCUCCAGCUCUACGAGUUGGGCAUCGAGGCGGCCAACGGGGAUGAAAAGGUCAUGGCAAACUGGUUUCCCAUGGAGCUCAAGGAUGGCGCCCGCACUUGGCUCCUAAACUUGCCUCCCAGCACGAUCUCCUCGUGGGACGAGAUGCGCACUCGCUUCAUCGCCAACUUCUAAGGCACUCGCGACCGGCCCCCGGCCAUGAGUGACUUGCGCCGCAUCAAGCAACAGCCAGGAGAGACCCUGCAAAAGUACAUCCAGCGCUUCAACAACGCCCACCUCAAGAUCCCCAGGGUGACCGAGGAGGCGAUCAUCUCAGCCUUGUCUGACAGCGUCAGAGACAUCAAGAUGAAAGAGGAGCUAGCAAUCCAUGAAGACAUGUGCACAUCUCUGGAGCUGUUCAACUUGGCGACCAAGUGCGCCAGGGCUGAGGAAGGGCGCCUCUCCCUCCACGAGCUUCCAGCUGCUGAUCCGGAAAAGAAGAAGCCCAAGGUCGGGGACGUGAAGCGCAAAGGAGCGGCUGUGCUCGCAGCUGAGCCAGACACCAAGCGAGGCAGGGAUCAGCCGGAGUCAUCCAAGGGCAGCCGGUACUGCAUGUACCACGACCUCCACACCCACAACACCAACGAAUGCCAAGAGCUCAGAGCUGUGCGAGAUGGACGUAUCGGCCGACGCCCCGAGCGCAAUGAUCGGGGCUAUGGCCGAGGAGGAGGAAGAGGUGGACGACGAUGGGGAGACCGUGGCCCUCACCAAGGGUGGUGUGACCGACCUCGCGAGGACCGCUGGCAGGACCAGCCUCGCGAGGGGGGUUGGAGGGAUCAGCCUCGUGAGGAUCGCCCGCAAGGCAACGCAGCACUUCUAGGGAAAAGCCUAUGCAUAGAGGUAUAGCAGUAGCGCCAGUUAAAAUAGGGCGCUACUGCUAUUUGUAGUAGCGCGUUCACGCAAAGCGCGCCAUAGCACAAAAGUUAGCAGUAGCGCAUGUUCGGAAACAAGCGCCACCGCUAUAAUUCCCACGGCUUAGCCGAUAGGCUACACAUAGUAGUAGCGAUCCAUAUAGAACAGCGCUACCGCUACUUACAUUGUAGCAGCGUGUUUUCUUCUAAACACGCUACUGCUAAACGCUAUAAAAUUAAAUGGAAAGCAAAUAGAAAGGUAAUUGAAAAUGAAAGAAAUAGAAUAAGGUGAAAGGGAAAAAAAAUAAAAUGUGAAGAAAAAUAAAUGAAAAAGGGAAAAAAGAGAAAGGAGUAGCAGUAGCGUGUAUACCAGAACACGCUGUAGCUAACGUAGCAGUAGUGCGCUUUCUGGAACGUGCUACUGCUACUUCUGAAUUAACCACCCGCCCCGGCUCAAAAUUUGGCUAAGUCCUCCAUUCCCCCCUUUCCCCUACUCCUCUAUCGUCGCCGCCCGAGCCUGCCCUCACCGCCGCCGCCCGCCCUCAACCUCAGCACCGCCGCCCGCCGCCGCUCUCGACCUCACCGUCGCCGCCCUCGACCUCACCGUCGUCGCCCGAGCCCGCCCAGCAAUGCCGCCUCCCGAUCCCGAGCCCGCCCUCGCCACCCCUACCUCUCCGUCGCCGAGCACCUCCCCGCCACCGCCUCUCCCCUUUCUGUAAGCCCCCCACCCCUCCCCACCCCCUUUCUCUCUGCUUAAUUAGUUAGUACUAGAUGUUUUUUAGUAGUAGUAGAUGUUAAUUUAGGGUUCAUAGAUAAUGAUUUUUAGUAGUUGAACUAGUUUAGUUUUAGUUGAACUAGUUUAGUUUUAGUUGAACUAGUUUAGUUUUAGUUGAACUAGUUUAGUAAGUAAAUUAAUAAACUAGUUGAACUAGUUGAAUUAAUAGAACUAAUGUAUUUUUAGUAAGUAAAUUAAUAAACUAGUUGAACUAGUUACUUUUAGUUGAACUAGUUUAGUAAGUAAAUUAAUAUAACUAGGUGAACUGCUCUAUUUUUAGAAAGAACUAGUUUUUUUCUAUUUAUAGUAAGUUUAUAUUUAGUAAGAACUAGUUGAAUUAAUAGAACUAGUUGAACAUGUCAUAUUUGUUGUUAUUUUUUUAGUUUAAGCAAUUAUUCGGGAUGUAUUAGUGAUAACUUAUAGGAUUUUUGCUUUUGCAGAAAUCAAGGAGCCCCUCCAUCAUCCCCGCCGUCGUCCAUGUCACCGACCCCCUCCGACCUCGAGGUGAGACCUGCCAAAUCUCCAUGUAUAUCUUGUGUUGCUCAUAUAGGAUUUGUGGUUGCCCAAGUGGCCGGUCAUGUUCAGGUUAUACCUCCGAGUGGCCUAUGUUUUGCCGGAGUGUUGAUUAAUUUCCGUUCCGGCAAAUUUCAGGCGCUCGAUAUGUCCUUUUUUAGCAAAGUUCAUGCCAGAUUUUUCCGUGAAUUCUGGCAUGACUUGUGCUAGAAUAUGUACAAGUUUAAUCUUUGAAUUAUGAACAUAGGAAAUGUCGUACUCGGAUGAUGACAGUCUCCCAGGGGAGUGCAGCUGGUGCCACGACAAUCGAGGUAUGUGCGACAGGUUCGUUGAGCUAGACGAAGAUCGGCGCUUCAGCAUUAAGCUCGAGGAGACCUUCGAUGUUGAAACGGUACGCAACAACGACAAGUGUUUUGUUCGUAAUUAAGCAUGACUUCAACUAUUUCAACGUCUAAUUUUCAUAUUUUACAAUUAGACUAGCUUAUCCCAUGCCAUGCAAGACGCUAUGUCUUGGAGAGGAUUGGUUUUAAAGACCAUGAAAAUUUUGAAAUAAAGAAAAUACACCUAAGGACCUAUCAUGAUACAGAUUUUGAAGUAAAUCUGUGCAAUGCUCAGAGCGUAACCCAUUUUGCUUGCCAAAAUUGGGAAGCACUUUCAAAGUAUGGUUUUUAUGAGGGUAUGAUUGUCACCAUGGAUCUUGGUGAUCCUGACAUCGAGCAAGACAAUAUGGACAUUUGGGUCCUUGUUGAUACGCUUCUGAUUGUACCACUAUGUGAGUUUCUCAAACAUAGUUAUUAACUAAUUUAUAUUGUUUAUUUUAAAAUAGUUGACAGCUUAUUUCCAUUGACAGCUUAUUUUGAUUCUUCAAAGACUGUGCGGAAGAUGGUAGACAAAAUCCACUACACCGAUGCCUCCGAAUUAACUUAUAAGGAGAAAAAUCAUCUAAUCGCAUUUUGUACUCUUCUUGAGGAUUACAAUAACUAUUAUUUAACUCCUCCAAAUUAUGGUGAAUACGUGCCACUAGUGCACGUGUUGAACCACAGUAACUUCUCUGGAGAUACUCUGGUAAGAUUUUUACUAUUACGACAUCCGUGCAUCUUUUGCAUACUUCUAAAACUAGUACAUCAUUGCUAACUACGAAGUUAUUACUAUGUUUUUCAACAGAAACUCUUGAUGGAUUGUGUGCCUCAUCUGAUGUAUCUGAAUGGUCACCUUACAGUUCUGAACAUACUGCCAGGUAAAUCUAGGGAGCUCACCUGUGCAUAUCGGAUUUCUAAAACCGGUGAACACAUGCUCAUCAAAGAAUGGAAAAAAUGUUUGGACAUUCGCAAGGAGGUUCUUGGAAGUAACAUUCAGCGAAAGGCAAGAAUUGGAGACAGGAUAAUCUCCAUUCUCCAUAAUGGAGAGUCAGGGGCUAUCUUUUUUUUUGCUAUUUUACCUUAGAAAAUGUAGUAGGUCCUAUGAGGUACAAUAUGUUUAUUAUGUGGUAAUGUGUUAGAGUUGAUAAUGAGGAGUACUUGUGAUUACGACUAGUGACCAAUUUGCUAUGUGAUGUCAUUGAUGAAAACGAUGAUCUUGAGGAGGUGUUAUAUGACAAUGAUGUAUUAUGAUGAUAAGUUGUUAAUGAUAUGAUGAUGAUGAUGAUAUUAUAACCGCGGAUUAGUUUCAAGUGGAUGGACAUCCACUUGAAACUAGUCCACGGUUCUUUCACCCCGUGAUGUAAUAACUAUUAUGAUGUAAAAACAAUCUAAAUUCCUGUUGUAUGAAAACUUGUGUAAAGGUGUAUGAAUACAACAUGAAAUAAAAAAGAAAUAAAAUACUAAAUAAUAGUAGUAGCACGGGCAAGGAGAAGCGCUACUACUAAUUACCAGUAGCGCUCCUCUAGAGAAGCGCUACUACUAAGUCAAUUUAACAGUAGCGUGGGUCCAGGCACGCUACUGCUAAGAUUUAGCUGUAGCGCCGUAUCAGUAGCGCUCCUGCCCGCGCUACUGAUAGGCCUAAAACCCGUGCUGCUGCUAGGCUUUUCCCUAGUAGUGCAAGCCUCCCUCCUCUGCCUCCACCGUCAAGGAGGAAUGAGGACCAGCAUCAGGACGAGGGGGCUGGGGGCUUCCAGGAGCCGCGCGCAAUCACUUGCAUCCUGGGCAGAGCUCAAGCCCCGGCCUCUCAGCGCAUCUUCAAGCAGUUUGCUCGCGAGGUGAAUGCAGUCCUCCCAAAGCCCGAGGCCUCGCGCCCUCUUAGGUGGUCCACAUGUGCCAUCAUGUUCAGUUCAGCGGAUCAACUCAAGUGCGCAACAACGGCUGGAGUUCUCCCAAUGCUCUGUUCCCCAGUCAUCAGCAAUGUGCAGGUCACCAGGACCCUCAUCGAUGGUGGAGCAGGACUCAACGUUCUGUCUGUCGAGACGUUCAACAACCUCCAAGUGUCGUAUGAUCAGCUUCAGCCGACCAAGCCUUUCUCAGGAGUCACUGAUGGUUCUACCACCCCGAUAGGGCAGGUCCGCCUCCCUGUCACCUUCAGACAGCGCAAGAAUUACUGCACAUAGCUCAUUGACUUCGACGUCUCCCACAUUUGCUUGCCAUACAACGCCAUCCUCGGGUAUCCAGCCCUGGCCAAGUUCAUGGCAGUGACCCAUCAUGGCUACAAUGUCCUCAAGAUGCCAGGAAGCAGUGGAGUCAUCACAGUCCCCUGUGAGGAGAAGGAUGCAGUGUGUUCUCUCGAGCGUGCUUUCCAGGCCGCGGCAAUCGAAGACCCAGAUCACAAGAGCGGGAGCCUUCCCGAGGCAGUCCCUAAGAAGAAGAAGACAUCACCUGGCCCGAACCAUCGGGAGGCAGGCACCUCCAGAAGCGUUGCAUCAGGAUCCGCGCCUGUUCAAGGAGCGCCUCCCUCUGUCACAUAGGGAGGCGCGCCCGGCGCCCUCCUCGGGCAAGGCUCGGGGGCUCUCUCCUGGAGGGCCACCGACUUUGCCAAGGUCACGAGGGAGGCGCUCGGGCACCACUUGGAGGCAUGCUUCAAAGCACGUUUCCCUCAGGAAGGUAUGAGGCAAGGAGGGCCAAACCAUAAGGAGUUCAUCGCAAGAAACACUCAGGAGCUGCAGGAGUCAAGAGUCAUGCGCGGCAGCCGCCGCUUACCCGCCGUAGCCCCCCAUCUAUGCGAGGAUGGUGGGCUGCGCGUCUGCAUUGACGUGCCAGGGCUCAACUGAGCCGCGUCUCAGGAGCGCCUCUAUCCCUCGUGCGUAGGACGUUGCAAGGGUCCCACCCACAUCUACGUUCGCAUGCCCCUCGACCUACCAAACGCGGCCCUACUCAUCAGCGCCUGCUGAGGAGCAUUCUGGAGGCUCAGGAGGUCAGACAUUGCGCGGUCCUAGCAGAGAUGGAGAUGGUCCUCGAGGAGCCGCCUGCACCCCCGGAGCCUCCCGAGGCUCCUGGUCCCAGGAGCUCGUGAGGAUCGGCUUCCUCACCGCACUUCGUCUGCUACUUCAGCAUUCCUUCAUCUCCAACAUAUCAGGUGACAUCUUUCAAAGUUUCAUUUUCAGCUGGGAGCGCCCCCAGGGAUGCAUCAUUCCCAGGCCGCGUGGGUCCGUCCCUGUGGCAUGUAUCUCUUUUGUUCAUGUCUUUAGGUUACCUUGUUGGGGGCGCCCCUCGGGCUGCAUUAUCCCCAAGCCGCUCGGGCCUGACCCAGUGGCACGUAUCCCUCUCGCAUUCGUCUGAGCUAAUUUACUAUUCCAUGCUCAACCUGCCUGACUUAAUCGCCCUCUCGAUUGACACCAACCUUUGGAGUUGCUCUCCCUGGCAUGACGCUUGCGCAUGGGUCCGUCCCUGGAACAUCGAAAAACCUGAGCGGCUGAGCUCUGGCCGCGGUAGCCCCGCAAGGCGCCACCUCACCAGGCCCUCAGUGCCCCCAUAUCUCCCUCAAAGCAACCGGUGGCUGGCUGACAAUUGUAAUGGCAACUCUCGUUUUCCUUGUGGUGAGUUUACAGGGUCUCUCUAAGGGAUAGUGUCGGGCGAGGCCUUCGCGGUCUCUCUUCCUCUCUCGCCCGCACGAGCCGCUUGUGCGUUAAAGGGGGGGCACCUGAGCAUCGCGAUUCACGGGCUCUUACUGGCUCUCCAGCCCUCAACUCAUGGCCUUGAACACGGCAUCGCGACCUGGCAUACCAGCGACGGCUGAGAUCGCUCGAGGGCCGGGACCCGAGGACGUAGAGCACAAAGGAGAGUGCGAGGGAGAAGGAGGAAGCUCGCGAGGAUCUCACCGGGCAACUCCCCAGCUACAGACGCGUGGGUCUGGCGUCGCGCCGAGAAAUGGCCCCAAACUCCUGAGAUAAGUCGCCCUCUACGGAACUGCUAGCUAAUGCAACACCGACUAUGCACCUAAUGCGGCCCUGUAACGGCGAUGUUGUGCUCCUUUCUCACCGAGCGACGGCUGCUUGAGCGCCAAGGGGGACCUCCUGAGCAUCGCGCCUCAGGGGCUCUUACUAGACCUUGGGCCGCUCACCUCCUGGCCUUGACCACGGCAUCGCGACCUGGCAUACCAGCGAUGGCUGAAGCCUGCCUGGGGACCGGGACCUGUCGGCGUAGAGCACCAGGCCCUUGUGAGGUUAGAAAGGAGGAACCAAGCUGGGAUAGGACAAGCAUCUCACACUGCAUCACGAUAAGGAUCAUAUUAACAAAAGAGAAUACAGACGCUUUACAUGCCCCCACGGGGUACUUCCUUGAUUCCUCGCAGGAAACAAAAGACGCGAAUCCUAAAGAGCCCUAACUACAGGAGCCGCAGCAGCAGGCGCCAUCAUCAACAGUGGGCCACGUGGGGCCGGCGCCAACCCCAUCCAGAUCAACCACGCCGACCACCGGGCGCGCCGACUCCGCUCCGGGCGCGACGUGAGCUCGGGGGCUCAUAGCUGUUGUCGCUCGUCUCCGGAGUCAGGAGAAGUUUGGGGGAGUCGCUGGACCCUCCGGCACACCCGCUGCUACCGGAGGAGCUACUGGAAAAGCAGGCGGCAGGCCUAGCCCUCGCCACUCCAGAGCUCCGUCCGCUGUCUCUGGGGCAGCACUCCAGCCGGCAUCCUUCCGCAUCGAAGACCUUGAAGAGCAUCAGGGAGGCGCCAUCGUAUUCCAGAUGAAUCACGAGGGCGCCCCCGUUUGGCAGACCCUGGCGAUUUCGCCCCAGCCUCGGGUCAUGAAGACCUUGCUAGGGGCGACAACCUCGACCUCCGCUUUGGUCGCGGGGGUGCGGCAGUCGGCGUGCUGCAGCCAAAGCUCCCGAGGCCCCCUCGGCGGUAUCUCGAAGGAGAAGGAGGCAGGGAGGCGGAUCCAAGAGCUCAGAGGCAUGGCGGCGUGAAGCACGAGUUCACGGGAAGAGUUCGCAGUGUAGACUCCAGGGGGGACGACGGGCGUCGCAGUGAUCCGUCGGCGAUGCCGGUGACGCGGGAGACGCCGCUAGGUGCCCUCUUCCCCAGGGCCCUCGGCCUGGGCGUACAAGGGUAAUGGAUAUCCGGGAGGAGGCCGAUCGUACCAAGGCCUCGACGCCUCCUGCCGAGCACCCUCAUCUCAGCGGCAGGGGACUGGCCGCUUCUUCAGCGGGAGUAGGACAGGCCCCUCUCGGGGGGCCUUCCCUUUCUCUUCGGUCGAGAACCGGCGGAUCAGCGCCAUUAUCAUUGAAUUAGAGGAGGAGCGAAGAAGAAGAGGCGGAGCAAGGAGAGACGGAGUGGAAGGGCUUGCGCCGUUCCGUACUUAUAGCCGGAGGAGGCCAACCAUCGGCCUCCAUGAUCACAGGUAAUCAUGACCCGUUUUGCAUGCAGGGACUAGUCACGUCGGACGGUUGCCGAGGCGUCGUGGGGAAGCGGAGACGCCCAUGUCCAAUCAACCACCACACAAUGCCCAAGGCCGCAGGCUGUUGGGGCCCGUGGCGCUUCGCAGUUGCCCCUUUGCUUCUCUACUAAGCCAAGUCCGGACGCGCUUUGGGCCCGGGGGCUACUGUCAGCGUUCUGGGAACGGGGGUCCCCAGACUUGCCUACCUGCGGCCUGCGGCGUGGCUCAAGCAGUGGUCCAGUGCGGCCCACCUCCAUCAGCUCAAGCUCAAGACCCUCGCGAGGGGCCAAGCCUCGCGGGGCGGACGAUAGGAAGCUUCCUCAGGAGCAACCUCGUCAGGCAGGCUCGCGAGGAGGCAGAGAGAUCAAGGCAGGGGUACCUCGCGAGGUGCCCAUGACGCAAGCCAUGACGAUCAAGGCCAGGCGGGCGCCGGCCUGCGCAGUGUCCUUGUUUCCCCUUUGGUGCAAAGGGAGCAAGCACGGGCCAAGGCGUCAGGCAAAGGUUACCGUUUCGGUGCAACAAGACCAAGACCAGCAAAGCGGCAGGAUGGAGGUCACCAUGGAGCCCAAGACGGCGUCAUCGUCAGAGUAUUUGGCAGUCGAAGACCAACUUUAGUCAGGAUAAGUGUACUAGAUGUUCCCCUUCAAAAUGGCCAAUUAUUGGCGCCCUUCCCGCUCAAUAUUUGGGAAGAGGAAUGUCGGUGUCAAAACCAGCAGAUCUCGGGUAGGGGGUCCCGAACUGUGCGUCUAGGCGGAUGGUAACAGGAGACAAGGGACACGAUGUUUUACCCAGGUUCGGGCCCUCUUGAUGGAGGUAAAACCCUACGUCCUGCUUGAUUGAUAUUGAUAUUGUGGAUGUUUACAAGAGUGGAUCUACCACGAGAUCAAGGAGGCUAAACCCUAGAAGCUAGCCUAUGGUAUGAUUGUAAUGGUUGUUGUUGUUGUUCGGUCCUACGGACUAGAGCCAUCCGGUUUAUAUAGACACCGGAGAGGGCUAGGGUUACAUAGAGUCGGUUACAAUGGUAGGAGAUCUAUGUAUCCGUAUCGCCAAGCUUGCCUUCCACGCCAAGGAAAGUCCCAUCCGGACACGGGACAAGGUCUUCAAUCUUGUAUCUUCAUAGUCUUGGAGUCCGGUCGAUGAUGAUAGUCCGGCCGAUGAUAGUUCGGCCGAUGAUGGUAGUCCGGCUAUCCGGACACCCCCUAAUCCGGGACUCCCUCAGUAGCCCCUGAACCAGGCUUCAAUGACGAUAAGUCCGGCGCGUAUAUUGCUUGGCAUUGCAAGGCGGGUUCCUCCUCCGAAUGAUAGAAGAUUGUGAACACCAGGAUAGUGUCCGGCUCUGCAAAAUAAAUUCCACAUUCCACCGUAGAGAGAAUAAUAUAUACACAAGUUCAAUCUGCUGACGUUUUUUGCGGCAUGACGUCACGCCACUACCAAGCCAUUACUUGAAUCGUUUUUUAGUCUACCACCUCAGCGCAUUUAGCGAAGCGGUUUCCUUGGCACGUCUUGUCGAAGCAGAGAUCGUGUUCCCCCUUAAUCCGGGAUUCUCAUCAAUACGGACAUGGGUAACCCAACCGCGCCAUUGAUGGUGACGCUUGGGGGAUAAGCGAGUUUUACCAGGCCGGUGGGGAACGCGUAGACUUCGCCCGCCCAUAUAAGGGAUAAGGAUUCACCUUUUCACCUACACCUUCUUCCUCCUUUGCUUAUCCAUCUACGCGCACUCGAGCUCCAGCGCCCAAGCCCGCACAUCUCGUCUCAACCUUCCGCAGUCAUGUCUGGAGCGGGAGGCAAGUGGAUGACCUCCUCCGUUACGGAGGAGCACAUCGAAAGACUGCGCAGCGCCGGCUACCUGUCCGGCGACAUCGUGCACCGGCUGCCCGACGUGGGGCAGCUCAUCCCCACCCCGAGGCCCCAUGAGAGGGUCUUUUUCUUCCCCACUUCCUCCGCGGACUGGGCUUUCCACUUCACCCUUUUGUCCGGGGGCUCAUGUUCUACUACGGCCUGGAUUUCCAUGAUCUGGCGCCGAACUUCAUCCUCAACAUCUCGGUGUUUAUCGUCGUGUGCGAGGCCUUCCUCUGCAUCCAGUCCCACUUCGGCUUGUGGCUCAAGACCUUCAAUGUCAAGCCGAAGGUAGUGAAGGGCACUCAAGCGGCGUGCGGAGGCGCCAUGCUGGGCAAGAUGCCCAAUGUCCUUUGGUUCGAAGGGGCCUUCGUGGAAUCCGUCAAGGGGUGGCAAUCAGGGUGGUUCUAUAUCACCGAGCCGCGCGACCCUGCAUGGGCGGCGGCCCCCGAGUUCAAAUCUGGUAUCCCUACGCAGCUCACCUCCUGGAAAGAGAAGGGCUUGCUGUGGGGUAGUUCGGAGGAGCUGACGGGACUCCAAGCCUGUAUCCAGAAGCUGGUGAAGAAGCUCAGGCUGGUUAACAUGGUCCAAGUCAUGCUCAUCCGCCGGAUUCUCCCAUGCCAAGAGCGGGCAUUCAAUCUGUGGGAGUUCGAUCCGGAACAGCAUCAGGCGCUGAGCGGGCUCUUCGACACGACGUACGAAGGCGCCUAGAGGGUGCUGUUUAAGGGCGCCGAAGCCCCCGCAUCCGUGACUGAAGAUCGCGGAUUUCGCUCGCAGCGCCAAGCCGACGAGGUAAGUGAUUCUACCCCUUUACGGGACAUUUACUUUUCAUAGUUUGAUUCUAUGCGGGUUUUAAUUUCCCCUUUUCCUUUGACAGGACUGGAUGAGGAAGGCGGAGCAGAUUAUCUGCCUGGCUCCUAUGCCAGAAAACCCAGUAGACGCCCGUCUAGCGAGGCUGCUGGUUCCGGCACCGCACAUGGUGCCGGAGAAGAAGGCCAAGAAGGAGGCCACGGGUGCUCGAAAGAGUUCCCGUUUUCAGGUGUCCGACGACUCCGGGGCGGACUCCUCCCCCGAAAACGAGGAGGAGAAAGAGGACUCUCUCCCAGAGGAGGGAGAGAGGAAGAGGAAGGCUUCCCCAACAGGGGAGGCCGAAGGGUCCAAGAGGGGAAGGACUAUUCCCCCGGACAGCUCCGCCAACAUCAACGUUGGCGAGGAAGAAUGGCCUUCAAGGGCCAGGACUCCAGCGAGAACGUAAGUAUCCGGAUUCCUGAAUGAUUUAUAAUUUCUUUUUCUGCGUCAUAUAGUGUCAUUCUGAUGCCGCAUGCUGCCUGUAGUCCAGCCAAUGAUGAUCUCCCCGCUUCAUCGAGCGGGUCGUUGGCUCCGUCGGAUGUAGACUCCAUCCCGACCGCCUCCACCCCUCGCGACACCGAGGACGCCGAGGUGGGAUCCCAAGAAGGGACCCAUCAGGGGGAGGCUCCGGAGGCGCCACAAGGCGACCUCCCGGACUUUGCGCCGGCCUCCACAUCAGAACCCGCAGUGGUUUCGGAGUCCGGCCGGCGGCCUCUUUGCACGAAGGGCAAGACUGUGACGCCGGCGGCUUCCGUCCAACCGAAGGCGCCGGACAAUUUGUUGGAGGCGCUCCAGAGCGCUUUCAUCGAGGAAGAACACCGCACUAUUAUGAGUGCGGUGAUUCAGAAGGUACAGCUUGCCAAGAGCGGGCUGACCGAAGCCUGCAGUAGCCUUCUAUUAGGCUUUGAGGUAAGAAGUUAAAAAUAUGCAAUGUAAUACCGCAUAGACAGUAGCCCCUGAUGCUCAGUUCGGUGUUCGGAAAGAAAAGCCGGACUGAGGAUCUGGAAAAAAAAAGAUAUACGCAGGGUUGCUAAAAAAUUAUGUCAAUAUGGGUUGCAAGUUGCGCUGCUGACCUCUGCCGCACUGACUGCGGAGGUCGGUGCUUUGAAGCAGGAGCUCGAGCGGUCUGAGCAAGAGCUCGGCCGUGCCAAGAAGCAGCUCCAGGACAAAGAAGGUGAGUAACACCACUUUGAACUUGUACCUUACAGAAAAGGAUUUAGGUUGCAACAAAAAAUAACAAGGAUAACAUGGGUACUGCAGGGGCCACGAACGAGGUGGCGACCCUGAAGGAGGCCGUGUCCGCGGCCGAACACAAUGCGGCCGCGGAACGGGUAGAGCGAGAAAAGCAGGAGGCGCGGGUGGCGGUGGUUCGGCAAGAGCUCCAGGCUCUCAUGGAAAAGCAUGAGAGUUUGGAGCGUGACUCAAAGACUAGAGAGUCCGAGCUUGCCUCGGCUCUCGAAAGUGCCAAAACUGCCAAGGCUGAUGCCCAUAAGUCCCUUCAGGAGAUUGAGUUGGUGAGGAAGAUAGCGGCGGAUAAGGCAUUUUUCAUGCAAAGCAAGCAUGUGAAUGUAAAUUACGUGUUACUUACCCGAAUUCGGAGCUCUCCAGGGGCGUUUGCAGAUCUGCCUCGCAGUGUGUCUGAUGCCGCCGCAUUCUACCGAGCUGAGGAGGGGAGCUCAACGGAGAAGGUCUUCUGGUCUCAGUAUGCUGAGGCCGGCCAUCCGGUGCCCCCUAGCAACCAGCAGAAGCAGCUGGUCGAGCUCCACAAGGUGGCCGAGCAGGCCAUGAAGGGCCUCAUAGUCCGGCUGUGGCCUGGAGAGGCCAUGCCUAGGAGCUACUUCGGCCUCGUGCGACGGUUGGUGGAUGCGUGCCCCUGGGUGGAGGUUAUCAAGCGCUCCGCCUGUAUUGAAGGUGCUCGUCGGGCCCUUGCCCGCGCAAAGGUGCAUUGGGGCAAGCUGGAUGCAGAGAAGCUAAUUACUGACGCGCCACCAGCAGGCAAGGAAUAUUGUACGCCCGAGAUGUACUAUAAGACUGUCCUGAAAGGUGCCCGCAAGAUUGCGGAUGAGUGCCCCAGGGAUGUAAUUAUUGAGUAAAUUCGCAAUGUGUUAUCCUGUGCGCUGAAAACUUUGUUCAUAUGUGCUAAGCAACGCUUGUUAAUUUAAAAUAUUACCUUAUGUGCGGCCGUUUAAUAAAUCUGAGAGAUGGCAAGUCGUCGGCUUCAGCCCCCAUGCCACGAGUGCUGGGGUGUUUGGGAUAAACUUGAGCACUCUUGUUCCCAUUUUUGGGUCCAUCUAGGGAGGCGCUCAACACAACGAACAAGGCAACCGGACUUAUAGUGCUUGAACACUCUCACUUAGUCAUAGAAUUCUAUAAUUUUAAAUUUCGGCGAAGCCCCUAGUAUUCGGAAGACCGAAUUCGGGGCGCUACCCACGCCUUCGUCGGACAUUAUCCGGUACUUCGCUCGAAGCGGCGUAGGUCUUUAAGGACCCGAAAAAGACCUCUUGAACAGCGACCAGUCUCUCGCCUUAUCAUGACAGUCAGUUUUAGCUUUCUCCACUGAGGCGUUAACCCGGCUCAACCGGGGCGCAAUCGCAGUGAUUCUCCCAGUGCUACCUUAGCCGAUAGAACAGAAUGUAAGGUGCCAAACAUGGGAGCCGGGCAAACCCAACUAUUGACCCAAGACAUGAUUCGGAGCCGAUUCAUAUAAUGCUAUAAGUUCGGGGUGCCGCACUUGGUGAAGUGUUCAGACUUUAUCACACCAUAAUGCGGGGAACAUAAGCCCCUGGUGUAUUUGGCCGUACCAAAAUGUACGGAUGCAACAUGUCGUAAAUGAACAUAUAUAUAUAAGGUAAUGCAAUUAUGGGCAAAAGGUGCUGCAUUUUAUUCGAGAAGAUCUGCUAUGAGUGCAGAAUGAUACAAAUAGUGCGGAAAGCAAGGGAUUGGACGAAUUAAAGGCGUCUCCCUCCAGGGGUAGGCCGCAGAAUGGUGUAUUCAACAAAUUUAAUGCUCGUAAUGGAGACCACCUGAGUGUUCGUCGCAGCCUUUGUCCCUCCCUGGCUGUUGCAUCAUGAGUUCGGCAGGUUCGCCGCCGGACAGAGUUCUGUAUAAAAAAGAGAGAAAUAAAAGAUAAAAGGAGCGACACACUUGGGAGCCCCUGGUGUGGUCGAACCGCACUCUGGGUCUGUUGUGGUUGUGCCUCUCCCCCUAUGCCCAUGGUAUCUCCAGGGCGUAAUUAUGUACGCGGAGAGUUUGUCUUACAAUUGUGCGAGGGCUGGGGUUGAGGCCGCAUUGCUACGCGUGCUCGGAACGUGCCAGGUGGUCUUGGUUGAUGUUGCUCCGGGCGCGUUUGGCCGUGUCCGGUCGUUUGACGGCCGGACUCAAAAAUUGCCUUAAAAGGCUGCUCUGUACUUCUGCCGCAAGAGCCGCUGUAUGUUCCUCCGUUCGGAGGGAGCGUUCCAUGUUUCCAUUGACCGUGAUGACUCCACGAGGGCCUGGCAUCUUGAGCUUAAGGUAUGCAUAAUGCGGCACCGCGUUGAAUUUUGCGAAUGCGGUUCGUCCGAGCAGAGCGUGAUAGCCACUGCAGAACGGGACUAUGUCGAAGAUUAACUCCUCGCUUUGGAAAUUAUCCGGGGAUCCGAAGACCACUUCCAGUGUAACUGAGCCUGUACAACUGGCCUCGACACCUGGUAUGACGCCUUUGAAGGUUGUCUUUGUAGGUUUAAUCCUUGAAGGGUCUAUGCCCAUCUUGCGCACUAUAUCCUGAUAAAGCAGGUUCAGGCUACUGCCGCCGUCCAUCAGGACUCUCAUGAGGUGAAAUCCAUCGACGAUUGGGUCUAAAACCAAUGCGGCGAAUCCGCCAUGGCGGAUACUGGUCGGAUGGUCUCUUCGAUCGAAAGUGAUCGGGCAAGAGGACCAUGGGUUGAAUUUUGGGGCGACUGGCUCCAUCGCGUAUACGUCCCUUAGUGCAUGCUUUCGCUCCCUCUUGGGUAUAUGCAUUGCGUAUAUCAUGUUUACCGUCCGAACUUGAGGGGGGAAUCCCUUUUGUCCUCUGUUGUUCGGCGGCCGGGUCUCUUCCUCGUCAUCGCUGUGUAGCCCCUUGUCAUUGUUUUCGGUGAUUAAUUUGCCUGCCUGCUUGAAUACCCAACAAUCUCUGUUGGUGUGGUUAGCUGGCUUUUCGGGGGUUCCAUGUAUUUGACAAGAGCGGUCGAGUAUUCGGUCCAAAUUGGACGGGCCCGGAGUGGUUCUUUUGAAUGGCUUCUUCCGUUGACCGGGCUUGGAGCCUCGGAAUCCGGCGUUGACUGCCGUAUCCUCAUUGCUGUCGCCGUUAAUGCGGCGUUUGUUUUUGUUUCGACGCGACCUGCCAUUGCGGUCCUUGGUAUCCGGACUGCCAGCGUUUUUGCUGAGGUUGUUGCUGCGAGCUAGCCAGCUAUCCUCUGCCGCACAGAAGCGGGUCAUGAGUGAUGUGAGGGAUGCCAUGGAUUUCGGCUUUUCCUGUCCUAGGUGCCGGGCCAGCCACUCGUCGCGGAUGUUAUGUUUGAAGGCAGCGAGGGCCUCUACAUCCGGACAGUCGACGAUUUGAUUUUUCUUUGUUAAGAACCGUGUCCAGAAUUGCCUGGCCGAUUCGUCUCGCUGCUGGAUUAUGUGGCUUAGGUCAUCUGCGUCCGGUGGUCGCACAUACGUGCCCUGGAAGUUGUCGAGGAAUGCGGCUUCCAGGUCUUCCCAGUAUCCAAUUGACUCUGCGGGCAGGCUGUUAAGCCAAUGCCGAGCUGGUCCUUUAAGCUUGAGCGGGAGAUAUUUGAUGGCGUGAAGAUCGUCGCCGCGGGCCAUAUGUAUAUGGAGGAGAUAAUCCUCAAUCCAAACCGCGGGGUCUGUUGUGCCAUCGUAGGAUUCGAUAUUAAAGGGUUUAAACUCUUCAGGGAUUUGAUGAUCCAUUACUUCGUCAGUGAAGCAUAGUGGGUGCGCGGCGCCUCUGUAUUGAGCAAUAUCGCGACGUAGCUCAAUAGAGCGUUGUCUGCUGUGUUCGGCCCGGCCGGAGUAGUUGUAUCCAGCGCGAUGGUAUUCGUCGUGGGUCUUGGGGCGCCCACAUGAUCCAUAGAUAGAUUAGGAUUGUCUUGCCUUGUCCUCCAAUAUAUCCUGCAAGGCCGGCCCGUUCCCCCGUGGCUUCAUGCUUUUUGAGCGAUGUCGGGGUACGUGUUUGGUGGAGGGCUUGCAUGCCUCUCUGUCGCGGCCACGAGGUGGUCGGUCUGCCGUAUUGUGCGCUCGUGAUGCAGGUUUGUACGCUUCCUCCUCUAGUCGGGGGAGCAACUUGCAUUUUGGGUAACUUUUGGAGGGGCAUUCGAGUUCAUACUCUUCGGCCGCGAGGACCUCGGUCCAUCUAUCGGCCAGUAGGUCUUGAUCAGCUUGAAGCUGUUGCUGCUUUUUCUUUAGGCUGUUUGCCAUGGCCAUUAGCCUGCGUCUGAAACGCUCUUGUUCGACAGGAUCCUCAGGCACGACGAAUUCGUCGUCGUUGAGGCUUGCCUCGUCUCCGGAGGGAGGUAAGUAAUUAUCAUCCUCGACCUCUUCGUCUGCCGCCCUCUCGUGAGGGCUUGCUUCUGCCUCCUCCUGCACUGGAUCGUGCUGGAGGGGGUUGUCUUCGGCACUUUCUGGGGUGUUAUUAUCUCCUGUGCCGGAAUCUCCAUUCUUGCUGUGGCGGGAUUUAGAGCGGCGCCGCUGACGUCGGUGCUUGGGCUGUUUCUUUAAGGAAUCGGCCUCCGUUGCUUCUUCGCCGUCCCCAUCUUUUGGGGUGUCCACCAUGUAUAUGCCGUAUGACGAGGUGUUCUUCCAGUGUCCUGUAGGCACUGGUUCUUGAUAGUCUGAUGUCUUUGGAGUCGUAGUCGAGUACGUCGGUUAGAUCGUCGACGGUGGCUACAAAGUGGGUGGUGGGUGGGCUCUGAAUUUCUUCGUCGUCCGCGUCCCAACCAUCCUAGCCGUAGUUCAGCCAGGGCUCUCCGGAUAGCGAGAGAUGCUUCAGCGAAUUUAAGAUAUCGCCGAAGGAUGAGUGCUGAAACAUGUCCACAGUGGUGAAUUCCAUGAUUGGCGCCCAAUCGGAUUUGACUGGCAGGGGCGCGGGAGGUUCGGAGUCCGACAGAGAGUCCGGCACCUCGGAGUCAUGAGCUUUAUGCGGGACAAGGUAAGUGUUCGGCUCCAUCGCCUAGAAGUUGCAGCUCCCGAGGCGGUGUCCAGCCAUCCGUCCUUGAUCUGAGCGAUCGGCUCCGGACUAUGGGUCGGAGCGGAUUCGUGUGCGGCCUCCAAGGUGCUGUCCGGCGGCAGAGUUAGGUCGUGCCCAUCGUGACAGCGCGGCACGCUCGGCUGUGGCUCAGAUCCAUCGAAGAUCAAGUCCCCGCAGAUAUCGGCCGUGAAGUUUAGGCUUCCAAACCUGACCUGACGGCCAGGGGCGUAGCUUUCGAUCUGCUCCAGAUGGCCAAGUGAGUUGGCCCGCAGUGCGAAGCCGCCGAAUACGAAGAUCUGUCCGGGGAGAAAAGUCUCACACAGGACUGCGUCGUUGUCGAUUGAACAGGCCAUCAAGCCUAUCGGUGACGACACAGAGGACUCUCAAUGAAAGCACCAAUGUCGGUGUCAAAACCGGCGGAUCUUGGGUAGGGGGUUCCGAACUGUGCGUCUAGGCGGAUGGUAACAGGAGACAAGAGACACGAUGUUUUACCCAGGUUCAGGCCCUCUUGAUGGAGGUAAAACCCUACGUCCUGCUUGAUUGAUAUUGAUAUUGUGGACGUUUACAAGAGUGGAUCUACCACGAGAUCAAGGAGGCUAAACCCUAGAAGCUAGCCUAUGGUAUGAUUGUAAUGGUUGUUGUUGUUGUUCGGUCCUACGGACUAGAGCCAUCCGGUUUAUAUAGACACCAGAGAGGGCUAGGGUUACAUAGAGUCGGUUACAAUGGUAGGAGAUCUACGUAUCCGUAUCGCCAAGCUUGCCUUCCACGCCAAGGAAAGUCCCAUCCGGACAUGGGACGAGGUCUUCAAUCUUGUAUCUUCAUAGUCUUGGAGUCCGGUCGAUGAUGAUAGUCCGGACGAUGAUAGUUCGGCCGAUGAUGGUAGUCCGGCUAUCCGGACACCCCCUAAUCCGGGACUCCCUCAAGGACCAAGGUCUCUCUAUAUAUAGGACUAGCCACCACAGAAGAAAGGGAUCCGGGACCAAAACCCUUCCAAAGGGGCAACACCACCACAAGAACAUCCCUCGCGAGGUUGUUCUUCCUUUGUAUUAUCAGCCCCUGAGGCAACCCACCACACCACACACUAGACUAGGGUAUUACACCAUAAUGGUGGCCUGAACCAGUAUAAACCUCGUGUCCCCUGUGUGUUCAUCUUCCUAGCCUAGAUUCUUUGCGAGGCUGCGAGACGUGAGUUGGUAGGGGAGAGAUCUUCACGCGCACCCCAGAUUUCGAACCUCAAGGGUCUGCCGGAACCCGAAAUCCGACAACGCCUCACGCACAAGGGCUGGUGUAUGGGCAUUUGCCAUCUCGCCCACACGCCUGUCUCCUCUCCCACACCCAAUCUGCUAGUUGCCAUGUGUUUUGCAGCAUACAUGGCUACUGCCCCUAGUGUGCUUGUAAGCAGAUGGCAACUCUCUUUUUUUACCCGAACAUGUCAGUUGCCAUGUGUUUUGCAGGGUACACGGCAACUGCCUAGUGUGCACAUGAGCAGAUGGCAAUUCUCUUUUACCCGAGUUGUCAUGUGUUUUUGCAUGGUACAUGGCAACUGCCCUAGCGUGCACGUAAGCAGAUGGCAACUCUUCCUUUUACAUGGCAACUGCCCUAGCGUGCUUAUGAGCACAUGGAAACUCUCUCAACUGCCUAGUGUAGGUGGCAACUCCUAAAGUUUUAAAAUCAUGGCAACUGCAGUAGACCAGACCAUACUUGGCAACUACAGUUGAGCAACCAUGGCAACUGUAGUUGUCCAACAUGGCAGCUGUAGUUCAGCGACAUGGGAACUGUAGUUAACUGAACACGGAAGAGUGUCCAGACCAUGGCAAAUGCGGGACGCUGGUGACUAUCACGCGGGGAGUGCGAGGCCAUAAGGUAGGAGGCCUGAAGUAUGGGUGUGUGUGUGUUAUCUAUUUUGCCCACACGCAGGCAUGUAAAAGGUACCGCGAGGAAAAAAAGAAGCAUGUAGGCAUUACUUGUUUUGCCCACAUGUAGGCGUGUGGGCUGAUCCUUUUAAACCCCACACAAACUGUGUGGGCAGACCCCUUAACGCCCACACGUGUGGCCGUUAUCAGCGUCCUUUUUUAUAUGUAUUUUGCACCACUUUAUAGAAAACUUAAAUUCAAACAUAUCACAUCAACAAUUGACCAUCUAGAACUGCAUUUAGGGAAAUGGAAUACAAAUAUUGAAUCCACAAGAGAUGUAUGAAUGACGGUCUAGUUAGCCAUAUGUCGAUGCCGGAAUGUUUUAAUGGUAUUUGAAAUAUGUUUGGACAGCAUUACCUACAUUUUUAAGGCAUGAGAAUUUUCCAAAGAUAUGACUAAAAUCUAGCGAUGCAUUAUAAUUUCCUAGGAAAUCCUUACCAAUUAAUAAUAAUCGUACACAGGAAUUUCAUGUGAAUCCUAGAAGGCAUCACAUUCUUUCGUUCCGGAGGAUUAUAUAGGAUCUUUCUAUAAAGUAGAGUGUUUUGGUGGCCGAGCUCCAUGAAGGCCGAUUUUUUAAUUUAAAAAAAUCAAAGUUAAAACUUUUUAGUUAAAAAAACUAAAAUAUAUAUACACGUAUAUAAGGAUGUAAUAUAUAUAUAUAUAUAUAUAUAUAUAUUCAAAAAGGGGGUUUACCCCAGCCUCUGCAUCAGAAAGAUGCAUACGGCUCAUAUUAUUAAAAAUAAAGUCCAGCAACAAAGUCGUCAAGUAUCGAGUUGCGAAGAUAAACAAAAGGCUCAAAAGAGCUCUAACCCAAAGCCACAACCGGCUGGCAAACACAAUAGGAUCACUACAUGCCUAUCCUAUUACAUGACCGCCAUCCAAACCGGUUGAAAAUAUCCCGCGCUACCAUCUCCCAUCGGGUAGACGCAGUAACCAAACGCUCCCUGGCCUCCGUCGGGGUGAGUAGCGACCACAUAUGGAUGAAUGUCGUGGCCCUGAAGAUAACCUGCAAAAAGUGAAUGUUUGUUGAUCUGUUAAAUACUAAAUCAUUUCUGCAAUUCCAUACUGCCCAAAGUAAAGCACAAACGCCAACACGAAUGUGUCUUGGAGUAUCGGAAUCAACCCCAUCAAGCCAUGUUCCAAAUAACAUGUUGAUAGAGGUGGGCUGAUUAAUAUUGAACGCAAUAUGAAUCGACCGCCACAGAAUCUUAGCCAACGAACAAUCGAGAAAGAGGUGUUUGAUGCUUUCGUUAUGAUCGCAAAACCUACACCUAGAUGAGUCCACCCAGUUGCGUUUUGCCAGGUUAUAGUCAAAAUGACUUGUUUAUGCAUAAACCACAUAAACACUUUGAUACGUAAGGGAACCUUUACUUUCCAAAUGUGAAUCGAGGAAGGGGCAGCGCUAGAGUUAAUGACAUCCAGAUACAUAGAUUUAACCGAGAACACACCGUUCUUAGUAAGUUUCCAAUACAGCUGAUCUGGUUGCUGGGUCAGCCGGACCUCCAUUAAACGUCUAACGAGGUGGAGCCAGGCCUCCCAACGAUUUCCAACUAGCGUUCUCCGAAAACUAAUAUUGAGGAGAGUGGAUUGUAGAACAGUUGUAAUGGUAGGCUUCUCUACGUCGCACAAUGUUGUACAAAGUAGGAUAUUAAAGUGCAAGGGGAGUCUCCCCAAGCCACGUAUCCUCCCAAAACCUCGUAGUGGCACCAUUCCCGACAAUAAAUUUUGACUUGUUGAAAAAAAAUGUUUGACUCUCAUCAAACCCUUUCAAAAAGGUGAGUCAGAAGGCCUCACAUUUACCUGAGCCAAGGUUUAGCAUAAAGAUACUUAUUACGCAAAAUCUGUGCCCAAGUAGCUUCCGUCUCAGACGACAGUUUAGAUAGCCACUUGCUAAGGAGACAUAUGUUUUUGACUUCCAAAUUUUCAAUACCUAUACCCCCUUGGUCCUUCGGCCUACAGAUUAUAUCCCACUUAGCAAGCCUUAACUUUCAUUUGAGCUCGUCAUUCUGCCAAAAGAAUCGAGAUCGGUAGAAAUCUAAUCUUUUCCUGACUCCCACCGAGACCUGGAAAAAAGAUAAGAGAAACAUAGGCAUACUGGUAAGGACCGAAUUAAUCAGAAUCAAUCGUCCUCUAUAUGACAUGAGCUUCCCUUUCCAACAGCUCAGUUUCUUUUCAAAGAGAUCCUCGAUGCAUUUCCACUCAAGGUUAGUCAGCUUACGAUGAUGAAUGGGUAUACCUAAGUACAUAAACGGUAAGGAGCCCAAUUCACAUCCGAAAAAUUGUUUAUACGUAUCCUGGUCCUCCUUUGCUCUUCCAAAGCAAAACAAUUCGCUCUUGUGGAAGUUAAUUUUGAGGCCAGAUAAUUGUUCAAAUAAGCAUAACAGCAGCUUCAUGUUUCUUGCUUUCGCCAGGUCGUGCUCCAUAAAGAUGAUUGUCGGUGUAAAAACUGGCGGAUCUCGGGUAGGGGGUCCCGAACUGUGCGUCUAGGCGGAUGGUAACAGGAGACAAGGGACACAAUGUUUUACCCAGGUUCGGGCCCUCUUGAUGGAGGUAAAACCCUACGUCCUGCUUGAUUAAUAUUGAUGAUGUGUGUUACAAGAGUAGAUCUACCACAAGAUCAAGGAGGCUAAACCCUAGAAGCUAGCCUAUGGUAUGAUUGUUGUUCAUCCUACGGACUAAAGCCAUCCGGUUUAUAUAGACACCGGAGAGGGCUAGGGUUACACAGAGUCGGUUACAAUGGUAGGAGAUCUACAUAUCUGUAUCGCCAAGCUUGCCUUCCAUGCCAAGGAAAGUCCCAUCCGGACACGGGACGAAGUCUUCAAUCUUGUAUCUUCAUAGUCUUGGAGUCCGGCCGAUGAUGAUAGUUCGGCUAUCCGGACACCCCCUAGUCCAGGACUCCCUCAGUAGCCCCUGAACCAGGCUUCAAUGACGACGAGUCCGGCGCGCAUAUUGUCUUCGGCAUUGCAAGGCGGGUUCCUCUUCCGAAUAAUCUACAGAAUAUUGUAAACGCCAGGAUAGUGUCCGGCUCUGCAAAAUAAAUUCCACGUACAACCGUAGAGAGAAUAAUAUUUACACAAGUUCAAUCUGCUGACGUAUUUGGUGGCGUGACAUCACACCACUACCAAGCCUUUACUCGAAUUGUUUUUAUUGUACCACCCCAGCGCGUUUAGCGAAGCGGUUUCCUUGGCACGUCUUGUCGAAGCAGAGAUCGUGUUCCCCUUAUUCCGGGAUUCUCAUAAAUACGGACGUGGGUAACCCGACCGUGCUUGUUGCCGCGCCCCCUCCAUCGAAGGCGGGUUCCAAACGGUCACGGGGACGGCUCUUGGUAUUCUUCCUCUUUAUAAUGAGACCAAGGCCCGUUCUUUUUCUUCAAUCCUCAAUCGAAUCCGCCCCUCGCCCCGAGUUCCAACACCCAGGGCUCCAGAUUCGGGUACCUUCGACCUUUGACAAUGUCCGGCUCCGACCUACGAGGCCGGUGGAUGCCCUCUUCCGUCACGGAAGAAGACGUGCUAAAGCUGAGAGACGCCAGGUAUUUGACCUACGAGAUUUCGCAUAGGUUGCCUGCCCGAGGGCAAAUUAUUCCUACUCCCGAGCCCGGCGAGAGCGUCGUGUUCGUGUCUCACCUCCGUUGGGGUUUAGGCUUCCCGAUGGAUCCCUUCGUGAGGGGGCUCAUGUUUUACUAUGGGCUGGAAUUCCAUGACUUGGCUCCGGUGUCCAUCCUCCACAUCUCAUCAUUCAUUGUCGUCUGCGAAGCCUUCCUCCGCAAUACCCCUCACUUCGGCUUGUGGCUCAAAACCUUCAACAUGGAGCCGAAGAUGAUUGAGGGGUGUCAGGCAGAGUGCGGCGGGGCGGUUAUAAGCAAGAGGGCCGAUGCUCCAUGGCCCGAGGGCUCUUUUCAGGAGGAGCUCGGCUUGUGGUAACAGGAGUGGUUCUAUAUCACCGCUCCCAGGGGCAGCAGGCAGAGGCCGCCGCCCGUCUUCCGCUCGGGCCCUCCACAACAGUUGACGUCAUGGGUCAACAAGGGGCGUGACUGGGGGUCGUCCAAAGACGUACCCCUAUUGCAGGACCGGAUUCGAGGCCUCCAAGAAAGGGAGAUCAAUCUGGUCAUAGUGGUACAGGUUAUGCUGAUCCGGUGCCUACUGCCCUGCAAACGUCGCCCCCUCCGCCUGUGGGAAUUUAAUCCGGAGGGGCCACGAGCUCUUCAACACUUCAUGGGUUUGACACCCGCGGAGAUGUACUAACUAUUCUUCGGAUCGCAAGAGAUGCAUCCGGACUUGACCGAGGAUGCUGGCCUAAGCUGCAAUCGCCCGGAUACUCAAGUAAGUAGCCCUGUGUCCGAACACAUCAUCCAUUUAUUUAUCGUGGAUUUGCCUUUUAACCAGCUAUCCCUUGGACAGGAGUGGAUAGCGCAAGCAAAACUGAUACGGUGUCCGGCCCCCCUCCCUUAGACCAUGCAGGAUCCCGUGUUAAUCAACAUGUUGGAGGUUGCACCUUCGGAGGAGGGCGAAGGGGGGCACAGGGGAACUACCACCUCUGCCACGGAGGCUUUCAGUAAGGGAGGAAUCGAGAGUCCCUCCUUCCAGGGGGAGAAGAGGACCGCUUCCGAAGACCCGGAGGCCAAGGCCUCAAAGCGGGGAAAGAAAUCUGUACCGGAAGGUCCUGUGCCGGGAAGAGCCCCGGCCGUACUGUCUCCUCGGAGGAAUCAGCCCUCCAGUGAGCCGUAAGUAAAAAAGGGGGAAUUUUGUAAUAGGGAACGCCCCUAUAUUAUUUCCAAAGGUAACCGAAGUUUUCACCUUGUAGUUCGGAUCUCAGCCCAUCUCAGCAGAGCUCAACUUCGGGGGACCUUCGUCCGGAGAUGAUGGAGAGCGAGACGGCUCCAUCUGCCGCCCCGUCUGGCAGGGCGGACAACCCUGAGGUGUCAUCACGGAGGGUCUCCCCAAGUCCGGCACCCAUUGGGGUACGGCCGGUGGAGCUGCAUGAUUUGCUCAAGAGGGCGUCUAUCUCAGAAGAUCACCGCACGUUAAUGAGUAUGGUGAUUGAGAGGAUCUCGUCCGCCGAAAGCGGGUUGUGUGAGGCCGUCAGAAGUUUGCUAACGGGGUUUGAGGUACGCAAAAAAUGACAUACCUUUUGACAGUUUUGCACAUGAAGUGUGCCCUGUAUAGAUAGUAGCCCCUGAGACUUGGUAUGUUGUCAAAAGCGACAGCAUGCCGAGGAUCAUAAUCUCAGUUAUAGAUUGUCUCCUUUCCUAUGCAGGUGGCGGAACGUUCGGUGGCCAGCCGGACUGAUGGAUUUGCCGAGCUGAAGAGGCAACUCGACGUUGCGGAUGCGGACAUCUUGCUGGUCAAUAAACGACUUGAUGAGUCACAAGGUAUGUGGUUGCUCUGCGGUCGCCUAGUAAGGGAGCUAACGCCCAUUCCUUACAAUUUGUAUGCUUGAUGCAGAUGGUGCUGCUGUUGUGGAAGACCUUCGAGCAGAGCUUGCUCGGGCCAAGGAGCAAGCCAAAAAAAGUGAGGCGGUUGCCUCGAAGGCAGCAGAAGAUCUAGAAGCCGAGAAGGCUGCUCACUGCCGAAGCAGGGAGGAGAUGGCCGGAAUGGCCGCGAAGUUAAAAGAUGCUACCGACCGCCAGGAGGUUCUUGAAAGAGAACGCCGAGCGGAGCAAGAGGACCUGAAGAAGGCCGACGCCGAAGCCAAGGAUGCACGUAGUGCGAUGCGGGCUAUGAAGGAGGAACUGCGUCAGGUCGGAGACAUUGUGGCUGCAAAGCCCUUUAUGCUGCGUAGGAAGUUCAUGGAUCCGAAGUAUGCUUAGCUGGGCCGAUUGUGCGGUGCAGAGGAUCCUUAUCUGGAUUUGGCGGCGAGUGCGGCGGACGCAGUCGUGCACUUCCGAAGCCAGAAGGAUCACGAAAUGGAAGAGCUUUUCUGGUCUUAAUUCCAUAGUCCGGAGCGUCCACUUCCGUUGAGUGAUCGGCUGGUUGAGUGGGCUGAGCUGAAUAGAUUGUCUGGACUUGCCAUGACGGAUGUGGUCGCUCAUCUGUGGCCGGAAAGGCCCAAGCUGAAGAGUUAUUUUGGCUUGUUGCAGCAAUUCCUUGGGGCGGUGCCGCAUAUCGGGGCGAUGAAGCGGUCGGCAUGCAUAGAAGGUGCACGGAUGGCUCUCGCCCGUGUUAAGACAUACUGGGCAGAGAUGGAUGCCACCGCUGUUGCAUCCCGGGGUUCGGACAAAAGCCGAUUCCCCACCGAGCACUAUUUUGAGGAAGUCCUGCAGGGCACUCGUUUAAUAGAGUCGCAGUGCUCGAAAGAUGUUAUGUUUAAAUGACAUGUAUGAUUUCUGAGAUCAUGUUUAUAAUGCAAUAGCUUUUUAUACUUGUGCGUUCAAGUAUUGAACUAUCUCCUGUGCGGCCGUAUAUGUAUGUAUAAUCUGAAAGAUGGCAGUCUUUGGCUUCAGCCCCCACGCACAUGGUGCGGGGGUGUUUGCAAAAAGAAAAGCGCUUUUUCACACUUAAUCCAAUGUCUUGGUCCUUUUAAGGAGGUGAUAGCAUAGCAAACUAGGCAACCGGACUAUAAUGCUUUAUCACUUUCACUUAGCCAUAGGAGCUUGAAUGUGGGGCUACUAUAUAGCCCCUAGCGGCACCGCUCUUCUCUGAACUUGGGGCGCGUAUGUGCCUGACCGGGAAGCGGUCCUUCGUCAAAGCGGAGGAAUUCUAAACAUUCCAAUGGUCGAUCGAGUGGUUGACCAGUCUCUCGCUAUAUCAUGACAGUCAGUUUUCGGCUUUCUCUACUGAGGUGCUCGCCCGGCCGAACCGGGGCACAAUCGCAGUAGUUCUCCUGGUGCCGUGUUAGCCAAUGGAGCGGAACAUAAGGUAGCAAAACACAGGAGCCGGGCAAACCCAACAUUUGACCAAAGACAUGAUUCGGAGCUGAUGCAUAUAAGGCCUAACUCGAGACGCCGAACACUCCCUGAGGUGUUCGGUCUUUAUGAUACCGGGCAGAACAAUGCCCAAAGCCCCUAGUGUCCAGGUACAGGCGGGAACUUCUGACGUGGCCCAUGCCAAAACGUCAGCCUCCUCCUCGGCUAUGGUAGGAAACCGGGGGAUGUGUAUCAACAAGAGACAGUAAGAAAGGUUUACACAGGGUCUUAAUCUGAAAAGAAUCCUUGCAACGGGUCCCUGCUGCAUGUCUGCGCCUGUGUCUCCGUUGUGCUGUAUCCUGGACGGGUGUAGCACGUGCUUCAUCUGUAAAAGAGAAGGACUUAGUUUCCAAGAAAUAUCGUGCAAAAGUUGUAUUAAAAUAAAGUAUAAUUUGGAAGAUGAAGAAAGUUGAGCUUUAUUGGCUCUCAUCAUUUAUACGCACGGCCCCUUAUAAAGGGGGUAUGCGGCUGGGAAGCCCCUUGUUUAUUUACGCCGGACUCGCCUAACCGUGUCCGAGGUCUGAAAAUGACCUGUUUUUAGGGGCCUUGACCUGCAAGGUCGGAUUAGUGUGUGGCUGUCAAGGCAGCCUUACGUUCUCCGUGGUCGAGGAACACUCGGAGUUACUCUUUAAGGAGAUUAUGCCGCAUGGACCGGGCAUUUUAAGCGUAAGAGACGUGUAAUGUGGUAUUGCGUUAAAGCGGGCGAAAGCUUUGCAUCCCAGUAGUGCUCGAGGGCCACUGUGAAAUGGGGCGAUAUGGAGAGUUAGCUUUUCGUGACGGAAGUUGUCGGAUGAACCGAACACAACCUCUAGUGGUACAGAGCCUGUAUAAUCGGCUUGAAGGCCUGGCGUCACUCCUUUGAAGGAAGUGCUGCUAUGGCGAAUUUUGGUAGGGUCUAUCCCCAUUCUGCGGACGAUGUCCUGGUAUGGCAGGUGUCGUGCUGUGUUUUCGUGUCACGUGAAGUGAGUUCACUGUUUUGACUUCUAGUGGGAAAGUCUUCUGUUUUCCGGAGUGCUGCUUUUGGGGGUCGUCACUUUCGCUCGGUGUGUCGAGCCCCUUGCGUUCGGCGUUAAGUCGGCCGGACUGCUUGAAGACCCAACAAUCUCUGUGGGUAUGGUUUGCAGGCUUCCCGGAGGUACUAUGUAUUUGACAUAGCCUAUCCAGAAUCUUGUUUAGGUUGGAUAGCUCGUCAUUGUUGUCCUUGAGGGGCAGUGUUUUGUUAUUCGGCCGAGAGCUUUUGAAUCCGGCGUUGACCGCCGUACUAUUUGGGCCAUUUUCCUUAUUCCGGCGCUGAUCUUUUCUGCGUCGUGAUUUCCCAUUUCCAUCCCUGACUUCGGAUGUACUCGGGUCGCUGGUGCUGCAUCUAGCCAGCCAGCUGUCUUCCCCCGCGCAAAAGCGGGUCAUGAGGCUUGUUAGUGCGGCCAUUGUUCUUGGUUUUUCCUGGACGAGGUGUCUGGCGAGCCAUUCGUCUCGGACGUUGUGUUUAAAGGCUGCUAAGGCUUCAGCGUCCGGACAGUCGACUAUUUGGUUCUUUUUAGUGAGGAACCUGUUCCAGAAUUUGCGUGCUGACUCUCCGGGCUGUUGAGUUAUGUGACUUAAAUCGUCUGCAUCCGGAGGGCGGACAUAAGUCCCCUGAAAAUUUGCUCGAAACGCAUCCUCAAGCUCUUCCCAACUUCCAAUGGUAUUUUUGGGAGGCUUUUGAGCCAAUGCCGAGCCAGCCCUUUGAGCUUGAGGGGUAGGUAUUUUAUGGCAUGGAGAUCGUCUCCUCUGGCCAUAUGUAUGUGUAGGAUAUAAUCCUCAAUCCAGACUCCGGGGUCUGUUGUUCCGUCAUAUGCCUCUAUGUUGACGGGUUUGAAUCCCGCUGGAAAUCCAUGAUCCAAUACCUCGUCGGUGAAACAUAGUGGGUGUGCGGCGCCCCUGUAUUUGGGUGUGUCGUUGUCUUCGAAUGCUCAGCGGGUUAUGUUGCUUCCUGGAGUCUUCUUUUUUGGCCCAUAGAUGGACCUGGCCGGGUCAUCCUUUUUCCGAGGAUCGUGUGCCGGCUUGUGUCCGGCGCCCCUUGCUGCUCUUGGCCUGUCAUCUGGUCGUCUAUCCGGCCAGGCGGCUUCUUUCUUUUUUGACUGCGGGGGCUCUAAGGCCUCCUCGUCAAAUUCGGGCAACAGCUUGCGCUUCGGGUAGCUCUUUGUCUGGUGACUAGCGCCAUAUUUAUCUGCGGUGUUGAGUACUUUGCUCCAUCUCAUUCUGAGUGCGUCCUCCGCUGUUUUGAGCUUUCGCUUUUGCUUCUUCAAACUUCUUGCAGUGGCGACGAGCCUUUUAUGAAGGUUCAUAUGCUAUGGUGAUGUGAGAUCGUCUUCGCCGGGGAUGGGUUGCUUGUCCAGUUCAUCAUGUUCGGAUGGUUGCUUGGUGGCAUGUUCGUCGUCCACUGCUUCGCCCUGCUCUAGGGCCGGGUUCGUAUGGGUGCCGUUUUUAUCGAGGCCGGUCUUCGGGCGGCGCUUGUGUCGCCAUUUUGGUUGUUUGUCGGGGGAGUUGUCCUUCGCCACGUCCCGUUUUUCCUCGUUGUCGCUUCCUUUUGGUGUAUCCACCAUGUAUACGUCGUGCGUUGGGGUGGCUUUCCGGUGCCGGAUGGGUGCUGGUUCUUGGUCGUCUCCGGCAUCAUCGUCCAUACCGUCGAUGUCUUCGGAGUCGUAGUCUAGCAUGUCGGUUAGAUCGUCGACAGUGGCUACCAAGUGGGUGGUGGGUGGGCUUUGAAUUUCUUCGUCAUCCGCAUCCCAACUGUCCUGGCCGCAGUUCGGCCAGGGCUCUCCUAAUAACGAGAGAUACUUUAGCAAACUCAAGAUGUCGCCGAAAGGUGAGUGUUGAAAGAUGUCCGCUGCGGUGAACUCCAUGAUUGGCGCCCAAUCGGAUUCGAUCCGAGGGGGCGCGGGAGGUUCGGAGUCCGGAGAGGAGUCCGACACCUCGGAGUCACGAGCUUCAUGAGGGACAAGGUCAGUGUUCGGCUCUAUCGCCGUAGAGGUUGCAGGCCCCAAGGCGGUGUCUAGCCAUCCGUCCUCGAUCUGCGCAGCCGGCUGCGAAUUGAAGAUCGGAGCGGGCUCGAGUGCGGCCUCCAAGGUACUGUCCGGCUGCAGAGCUAAAUCAUGCUCAUCGUGACAGUGCGGCAUGCUCGGCUGUGGCUCGAAUCCAUCGAGGAUCAAGUUCCUGUGGAUGUCAGCCGUGAAGUUCAAACUUCCAAAUCUGACCUGACGGCCAGGGGCACAGCUUUCGAUCUGCUCCAAUUGGCCAAGCAAAUUGGCCCGCAGUGCGAAGCCGCAGAAUACGAAGAUCUGUCCGGGGAGGAAGGUCUCACCCUGGACUGCGUCGUUGUUGAUGAUCGAAGAAGCCAUCGAGCCUAUCGGUGACGACACAGAGGAACUCUCAAUGAAAGCACCAAUGUCGGUGUCAAAACCGGCAGAUCUCGGGUAGGGGGUCCCGAACUGUGCGUCUAGGCGGAUGGUAACAGGAGACAAGGGACACGAUGUUUUACCCAGGUUCGAGCCCUCUUGAUGGAGGUAAAACCCUACGUCAUGCUUGAUUAAUAUUGAUGAUGUGUGUUACAAGAGUAGAUCUACCACGAGAUCAAGGAGGCUAAACCCUAGAAGCUAGCCUAUGGUAUGAUUGUUGUUCGUCCUACGGACUAAAGCCAUCCAGUUUAUAUAGACACCGGAGAGGGCUAGGGUUACACAUAGUCGGUUACAAUGGUAGGAGAUCUACAUAUCCGUAUCGCCAAGCUUGCCUUCCACGCCAAGGAAAGUCCCAUCCGGACACGGGAUGAAGUCUUCAAUCUUGUAUCUUCAUAGUCUUGGAGUCCGGCCGAUGAUGAUAGUUCGGCUAUCCGGACACCCCCUAGUCCAGGACUCCCUCAAUGAUAGUAUCAUCAGCAUACUGAAGAAUGAAAAUCCCUCCGUCAACUAGAUGUGGGACCAGGCCACCUACCUGCCCUACAUCCUUGGCCCGACCUAUUAAGAUAGUGAGCAUAUCAGCCACUAUGUUAAACAGAAUCGGUGACAUCGGAUCUCCUUGCCUUAGCCCCUUGUGUGUUUUGAAAUAGUGACCUAUGUCAUCAUUCACUUUAAUCUCUACACUCCCUUUUUGCGUAAAGGAAUCAAUCUGGUUUCUCCAUGCCGGAUCAAAACCUUUCAUACGCAAAGCUUGUUGAAGGAAAGGCCAUUUAACUUUAUCAUAUGCUUUUUCAAAAUCCACUUUAAAAACUACGCCAUCAAGUUUUUUGAGUGGAUUUCAUGGAGCGUUUCAUGCAAGACAACAAACCCUUCAAGGAUGUUUCUAUCAGGCAUGAAAGCAGUCUGGGACGGAUGAACCACAGAGUGCGCAAUCUGCGUAAGUCUAUUUGUCCCGACCUUGGUGAAUAUUUUGAAACUCACAUUAAGCAAACAUAUAGGUCUGAACUGCUCAAUGCGAACCGCGUCUGUCUUCUUAGGAAGAAUAGUUAUCAUUCCAAAAUUCAGCUUAAACAACUGAAGUUGUCCCUCAAAAAACUCCUGGAACAUGGGCAUCAAAUCACCCUUAAUAAAAUGCCAGCACUUUUUGUAAAACUCUGCCGGAAACCCAUCCAGUCCUGGAGCCUUAUUGUUCUCCAUUUAUGCAAUGGCUUCAAACACCUCUUUCUCAGAGAAAGGAGCAGUCAGCAGCUCAUUCUCGGCAGUCUCAAGUUGAGGAACAUCCUCAACCCUAGACUCAUCUAAGGACACAAAAUUCUCUUCCGAGGGACCAAACAACUGCUUAUAAUAAUUGGUAAUGUAGACCUUCAGAUUGUCUUGACCAACUAUCGUCCCUUCAUCUUGUUCUAGCUGGAAAAUUCUCUUUUUACGAUGCUUCCCAUUAGCAAUCAUAUGAAAGAAUUGAGUAUUGUCCUCGCCUUGUACUAUCUUGCGAACCUUAGCUCGCAACGCCCACUUCAAUUCCUCCUCGCGAAGAAGUUGUUUAAGUCGCAUCUCCGCCUCUAUCUUUGUUUCCAACUCACUGGAAUCCAAGAUAGAAGUUUCAGCUUUAACGACAAGGUUUUGAAUAAGUAGAAGAAGUCUCUCCUUCUCCGCCUUAUAAAUACCAUGCGUGUGUUUAGCCCAUCCUCGAAGGAACCUUCGGAGAUGACGAAUCUUGCAUUGCCAUCGCUCGAUAGGCGUCCUUCCUCCUGAGUCUUUAGCCCACUCCCGAGCUAACAACUCAAGGACACCUUCUCUUUCAAACCAGGCAAGUUCAAACGAGAAAAUGCUUUUGUUGCCCACAAAAGUUUGAACUCCUGAAUCAACUAGUAAUGGUGUAUGGUCAGAGACACCUCUUGUCAAUGCCUGCACAGUUACCAGAGGAAACUUCUGUUCCCAUUCGACACUUGCUAGGACACGGUCAAGUUUCUCAAACGUCGGGACCGGUAACGAAUUAGCCCAAGUGAAUUUCCUACCCGAAAGCUCUAUCUCUCUGAGAUCCAAACUUUCGAUAAUAGUGUUGAACAUGAACGACCAUCAGCCGUCAAAAUUGUCAUUAUUCUUCUCCUCCUUCCUACAGAUAAUGUUGAAAUCCCCUCCCACUAAGAGGGGGAGCUGUUCAUUACCACAAAUACAAACCAGAUCCGCCAAAAAGUCUGGCUUGAGCUCUGAUUGCGCAGCUCCGUACACCGCCACCAAAGCCCAAUCAAACCCAUCUGCCUUAGUUCGAACUCAAAACUUGACGGCAAUAUCCCCCAAAACUACACCCCGAACUUCCAAUGUUUCACACUUAACCCCAAGUAAAACCCCACCGAAUCUUCCUUGAGGGGGGAGGCAAUGCCAAUCAAAAUCUACCCCCCCCCCGGACAAAGUGGCAAGAAAUUGUGAAGUGAAGUUGCUUCUUCCAGUCUCAGACAAUGCAAUAAAAUCUAACUGAUGUUCAAGAGAAGCCUCCGCUAGAAAUCUUCUUUUAGCCAAGUCUCUAAGACCUCUGCUAUUCCAGAAAAUGCCUCUCAUAAUUCAUCAUAAAAAAAUUGUAGUGCGGAUCCUAGCACUCCUACGUGCAGCCGAGACGGGAUAAACCUUCCGUUUCCACGUCCGCUUUGGCUUAAGGUGACCAUCAGCCUGAUCAGCACAGUCAUUCUCGGCUUCUAUCGCCUCAGGCUCAUCUACAUGAAGAGACACCUCAGGAAUGGUGUCCUCCUCCGUCUCUGGUAGUGCAGGGUCAAGAUCGGCACACAAGCCAUCAAGAACCCUAACCCCAAGCGCAUCUAUCUCCGAAUCGUUCAUAGGUUUAACAGCAGCAAUGUGACGGAUCAUUUCUACCGCACGAUUAGCUUCCAAAUCAAGAAUGUCAUUAACCGACCUAGAAACCUCAAUAUCAUUUUUACCAAGUGAAACACCUACUUGAUUUGCAUUAUGAAUAAUUUCAACAUCAGUAAAAUGAAAAAUGGAAUUCGACUUAUUAACCGACAUACCAGUGGAGGUCUCGACGUCGCGCAGCUUGGCAGCUCUCAAAGCACACCUCAGCUGCAUGUCAUCAACGUCCGGCUGCUCCUGCAGCCUCCCGCUGACCCGCCUCCCCUGGGAGACCGGGUCCGGGAUACCGCCAAAGGCGAUGACCUCCUCGCGAGAAUCUCUGCUAGGGGAAAGGCCUCCUGCCCAUCCCCCAACAGUGGCUCCCCGGGCCGUAGCCACCGGGGCCGGAGAGCAGCUCUGCGACGACUCCCGCGGCCUGUCCACGGGCGACUCGCCGGCAGCAGGGGCCGGGGAGACCCGCUCACGGUGCUCCAGAGAGGCAGCCGGAGAGACGGGCGCAUCACCUGACCCCGACCACCGCAACGGGGCAAAGAGAGACGGCGGCCUCCUGCACAACCACCCCUCCUCCCGCGCGCGGCGACGUGGGGAAGAGCACCGAGUCCUACAUGGGCGCCGUCGGCGUCAGCAUCACAGGGGACCGGGCCUCCUGCCCGUCACCACUAGCCAUAGCCGCAGUCGCAGCACCAUCCACGGUAGCCAUCAGCGAGGUAGGAGUCGUGGAAGGGCCACCUGCCCCUCGGUAUCUCCCAACUCAAGAACCAUCGGCGCACAAAGAGGAGCCACGGGAUCCACGGAACCCAGAAAUACACCCCGCAGCCUAGGUGGAGCAGAGAAUGGUCCCAAGGACCCAAGCUGCAAAGUGGACGUCGGAGCAACCCCAGAAGACCUCGCAGGAGCCAUAUUAGUAGACUCGGACGGACCAACCGGACCCUUGGCCCCGUCUUCAUCACCCAUAGCCGAAUCAUCCUGGUUCCCCGGGGCACCUCCUCCCUCAGUCAUGUCCAUAGGGUUAUCAUCCUCAAACUCAUCGAACAAAUUAGGAUCCUCAUACAAAACGUCCAGCUGAUACAUAACACCAUCGUAUGUCCAAGGCACCACGUUCGGCAGGAACUCAAUAUUAGCAACACUGACAAGUAAACGCGCCACCCCGUUGGCCCGAGUGAAUGGCAUAUCCACCUGUUCAGUCUUGCCGAUCAAAGACCCCAAACUCCACGUCACCAAGAAGCUAUCCAAGGGAUCAGAUGGUUCCCCAAAGAAACGAACCCAAAUCUGCCUCAACGGCAUGCCCUGCGGCUCCUUCUUUUUCCACUCAUCAAACUGCAACACAAAACUAGUGCCUGUAACCCUGCUCAUACCGAACUUGAGGAUUUGCACCUGAUCCUCCUUAGACGGAAAAUCAACUUUGUAAGACGUAUCAUUUAGCUUGAGCAAGGACCACUGAAAAUUACCCGGAGCGAGUUCCCGCAGCUGCUGAAUAAUUUGCGCCUCGGUCAACGGUCCAUGAACUACCUUCACCACCCCUGGGAAAGAAGUCUCUACCGCUGGUGCCAAAGGUGCCACUCUGGGAGACUCGAAGAACAUCAACUCCGAGCAGCAGACCCCGUAAAUCUGAACAGAAGGCUUAGGCCCAAGCAUAAGAGGACACUCGGCAGCGGUAUGCUUAGGUUUCCGGCACAGGUCACAUAAUUCCGCAGUGCACUCAGCCAUAAAGUGUCCCGUGUCACCACAGCAAAAACAAGUGAGCUUCUUCUUCUUAGCCGCCCACUUGGACAACUUGUCAGCUUCAGAUUUGUCCAUACCAUGCUUAGAAGCAGCAUCACCAGUCUGCAUGGGUUCCGGCAACGUAACUUCGGCCAGAGCCUGAACCGUCUCCACCGCCACCUGCGGUAGAUUCGAUCCUCCGUCAGCCACCUCCGUCUCAACCGUAGUCUUCGGAUGCCUUGGCUGAUAGAAACGUCUGUUCCCGCCCCGCCCUCCGCGGAAACGACCCCGGAAAGAGCGGUUAUUGGGGCCAACCGCACCCUCCACGAAGUUGCCAGGCGGUCCUUGGAAACCCCGGUUGGCAUUACCGUCAUCCACCCAUGCAUAACCACGGCCACCGCCGGUAGACGAAGAGCCCCGAUGCAGCCCAAAGCCAUAAGCAUCAUAUCCAUCAUCGCCCCACUGUCCUCGCAGAGGAUUACGAUCAUCCCCCGCCGACGCACCCGCCCCAUGGCCAUUCGUGCCAGGGCCAGUGCCACCGCGUCCACCCGCCAUCUGCCUCGGCCACGGCCAUUGGGUCGGCUGCGGCUCGGCCCUUGGCGGCGGUGGUGGCGCAGCCCUAGGCUGGGGAGGCAGAGGAGGCGCGGCCUUAGGCGGCUGGGCCACCCUAACCGGAGGCGGAGGAGGCGCUCCCCGAGGCGGUGGUGGAGCUACCCGUGAGGGCGGCGCCGCACGCGCGAGACCCGGCGCCGCAGCAGUCGCAGCCGGAGGAGCAGAAGCCCCCGCGGCCCCGGCCGGGUUCCUCACCACCGGCGCAGCCCGCGGUGGAGGUGGCUUGGGCGGCAUCUCCGCCGAACGAGAACCAGUUGACGGGUGCCGUCCAACGCCGGCGCGAGCUGAGGAGAAACGGCGCAAGGAGGCCGACGGGAAACCAACCGUCCCGCGACGGUGAACCCUAGCAGCAACGAAGAGAGAAGGGGAGGUAGAUCGUGCAUGCAGGGGCGAUCGGUCCGAGGCCACCUCAUGCACGUCGCCCACACCCGUCGCUAUGCAAACCUGGCCAGCCCCCCGGGCCUCUAGCCCAGUACUAGCCAGGCCCGCUUCGCGAGCACUCUCAGGCGGCCCAUCUGUGCCCAAAAGAGCAUAGAAACGCUCAGAUCUGGCCGCCCGAAUGUCACACGCAGCGGCCACCGCCGGCGAUCGUUGUGACAUCAUACGACCCCCUUUCUUCUUUCUUCGAGUCACUCUCGUCCAGCACUCGGGACAAAAAAAAUCAGACAAAGAGAUAGCCGGCGCCCCCCCCCCCUUCGGCAAAGGUCCACUCCAUGGUUUCACUUUCGACUUCUGCGAAGAAAACGGAGUCCCAAACGAGAUAGAUCUCUUAGUACUCACCAAAGGUUUAGGCACCGAGGUAGAUGUAGCCACGCCAAGCGUAGCUGGUGGCCGAACCGUCGUUUCCGGUGGAUCAUCAUCGUCUUCAUCUUCAUCAGCAAGAAUCCAGAAACGUCCUCCAACCCGCUGCAGAGGCUUGGGUCCGUCGGCAUUAUCCGUAAGAUCCACUACAUCGAGUUGCUCGUCGCAAUCCAUGGAUGCCUGCACACACUCAAGAACCUCGAUAUGGAACAAAUAGAUUAUUAAACGCUUACCGAUCGCAAGCUCUUCAUCAACGUUGAGAUGUCGUCCGGCCAGAAUAUCUCCAUCUUCGUCCUGGAUCGUCAUCCAACGAGACGGAUGCGAGUAGAUCGAGCCAUUGAUCCAUCGCCCCGCCUCCCUAUCAUCUUGAAAACGCACAUACCAUUUCGUAGGAUGCAAAAAGUCCCAAUCCCGAUCCGCCGUUGAGGGAUCUCGAGGGGAAAGCGGGGAAGGGAGUAGAUCAGGCGCCGCUGGAGAAACAGCCACGAGCGCCGGCUGCAGAUCAUCAGGAAGCGAUGGGUCCGGCGACAACUGCAGAUGCGGCGGCGGCGGAAGCACCUCCCCGAAAGGCAGGUCUGCCGAGCGGCGCGGCGGCGGGGAACACCCCCUCCCGUUGGCCCGCAAUCCACCCCCAUUGGCCGUCGAGAGGGGCGGCGGAGGUUCCGGCUGGAUUGGCAGCGCCGGGGACGCUCGCCCGUCGCCCACCGAGUCGCCCAUCUGGACCGGGAGCAUCUCGUGCAAGAUCGUACGAGCGGAGCCAGUGUCCUGCUCAAAUCUAUUGGUUAAGAUCAACAUAUAUAUAUAUAUAUAUAUAUAUAUAUAUAUAUAUAUAUAUAUAUAUAUAUAUAUAUAUAUAUAUAAGGUGGGUCUAUUAUGAUAACACCUUUAAAACCCUUAUUCUGCACAUCAACCGUGCUUAUUCUGCUAACACAACCGAAUUGGCCCAUGGCUACAAACUAACCCCGCAACCCAAUCGAACCGAACAGCACCUGCAAAAAAACACUAUCCCACCUUAUCUUCUUCUCGUCCACCCAAUGCUCCUUCUCUCCCACGACCUCCAUCUCCCCACGAACCCCCACUUCAGCACGGCACCUCCCCCGUGCUGCCGCGCCACCCACUCCCCAGUGCCGCCGCGCCGCCUCCUUCCCUCGCACCGCUGCUACACCUCCUUCCCCCGCGCCGCCGCCCCGCCUCCUACUACGGCGGCGCUGCCCCGCCUCCUUCCCCCGCGCCACCACAAAACCUCCUUGCACGGCGUCAGCCGCGCGCCUGGGGAGCCAAUGCGGUUCCACGGUGGCAGACGUGUGCCGGAGUCGGAUUAGUGCGCGAGCGCCGUCAACAAAUCCGUGGGCGUGGUGGACCGCAGCAGCUCCCCGUGCUUGUAGCCCAUGGUGGUGGCACGGGGGACGGCGGGAGGGAGAAGCAGAGAGCAGUCACGGUAGGGGAGGGGAGGAUCCGGCUACGGGGGUCGCGCGGGACGGUGGGAGGUGCGCGGAGGAGCAGAAAGAAGUCGCGCGGCAGGGGAGGGGAGGGUCCGACUACGGGGGUCACAGAGGAGCUGCUUGCCGGGGCACGGCAGCUCGGAUCUCUCGCCGACCGGCGUAUGGGAAGGCUGGUGGUGGCCGUGGUGGCUCUUAGGCCCCAGCUUGCCGGCACACAGGAGGGCGAUGCGGGAUGUAGGAGGGUGCUGGUGGCGCCCUCGCCUGGAUCCGGGAGGAGCUGGGUAGGAGUUGGCGGCAGCAACCACCAACCACAUCGCCGGCCUCUGUGCAGCUCGGUUACCGCUCCCCAUGCAGCUCGGUUGCCGCUCCCCGUGCAGCUUGCUUGCCGCUCCCCGUGCAGCUUGCCUCCGGCGAGCAAACUCUCUGGCGAGUCCACCUCACGUCCGCACCACUCGCUGUGUGCAGUUCGGUUACAUGGAUCGGUUUAAGUGCGAGAGCGCAGCAGCACUCCCACGAAAGGAAUCUAAUUAUUGAAAAAUCUCCGCAAUCCUAUUUCUAAUUAGUAACAAAACAGUCUGACUGCAGUUUUUUGAUUAUAUUGCAGCAGCACUUCCAUCCAACCCGCAGGUCGUUUCCAACACAAAACUUGCAUUUUGGAUGCGCGUGGUGUUGCGGUUCACCUCGCCACAGAAUGCAACCCAGGUCGUCACUCAGUGCAGUCAACCUCGCCAUGCGAUGACGUACACCGACGACUCGAAGCAGUUCUCACGACCAGCUCGCGUGAGCCCGCGACUCCCCGACUUUCUUUGUUGUGGGUCGUAUGAAUUACAGUGCAGCUUAGAUCGUACCAUGAAGUUUGGAGCAUGUGAACAUGGAGUGCAAAAUGGUGCAUUUUGUUCUUGAGGAGUUUAUGUAUAAAAAUUACAGGGACUUUAUUUGAAUGUGUUUAGAAAUUGCAGUUUGGAGUAUCCGCACAUGCAGUGCAUACGCUACUUUUGUGUUUGUGGAUUUUUUUGUAUAAAGGUUAUAGGAACUCAUUUGAUUGCAGCGAAACAUGGUGAUGUUAAGACAUGAGCAUGCAGUUUCUACCAUGUGGACAUGCAAUGAAAAAAUGGUGUUUUCUGUGUUUGAUGAUUUUAUGUAUAAAAGUUAUAUGGACUCGUUUGAAAAUUGUUUACCAAAGAAGUUCAUUUUGAA